CUCUGCUUCCCUCUGCGAAGGGCCUAUCUAUUUACUUUUAUGUUGAGUCAUCACCCUUCUUAUUAAAAGCACCCGCUGGAGAGCACACUGUCAUUUGCAUUCAUUAUUAUUGGUUUAUAUUGGGUAUGACUUGACUGGAUCUCUUUUACCAUGAAUUACAAUGUUUAGUCAGUCCUUGAUCUUUAAAGGUGCUCUGCAUUUAUGUUUUGCGGUCUCAGAAAGGGCUAGCGAGAUACCACUUUGUUAUAUCAUGUUAUGAUUAUUUUGAGAAAGUGUUGUCAUCCGAGUUUUAUUAUUAUGGCUCGCUAGCUGAUUAUGCUAUUGAUAUGAGUAAUUGUGAGACCUAUGUGUUAUUGUUAGUAUGGUUAGUUCAUAAUAUUUGCUGAAACUUGAAUGCUGGCUUUUCAUGUUACAACAACAAGAGCAAACAGAGUUUGUAAAAGUUUUUCUUUAUCACUUUCAGUUUAUCAACUGAGUUACUUGAGGACAAGCAAAGGUUUAAGCUUGGGGCAAUUGAUACGUCUCCAACGUAUCUACUUUUCCAAACACGUUUGCCCUUGUUUUGGACUCUAACUUGCAUGAUUUGAAUGAAACUAACCCGGACUGACGUUGUUUUCAGCAGAACUGCCAUGAUGUUGUUUUAUGUGUAGAAAAGAAAAGUUCUCAGAAUGUCCUGGAAAUCCAUGGAGGCACUUUUCAGAUUUAAUAAGAAUUUUUGGCAAAAGAAUUAGUGCCAAGGGGCCCACGGCCUGUCCACGAGACAGGGGGGCGCCCCCCCCCCCUAGGGCGCGGCCCCCUAUCUCAUGGGCCCCUGGACCUCCUCCGACCUCAACUCCAACUCCAUAUAUUCCGUCUCGGGGAGAAAAAAAUCAGAGAGAAAAUUUCAUCGCGUUUCACGACACGGAGCCAUCGCCAAGCCCUAAUCUCUCCCGGGAGGGCUGAUCUGGAGUCCGUUCGGGGCUCCGGAGAGGGGGAUUCGUCUCCGUCGUCAUCAUCAACCAUCCUCCAUCGACAAUUUCAUGAUGCUCACCGCCGUGCGUGAGUAAUUCCAUCGUAGGCUUGCUGGAUGGUGAUGGGUUGGAUGAGAUUUACCAUGUAAUCAAGUUAGUUUUGUUAGGGUUUGAUCCCUAGUAUCCACUAUGUUCUAAGAUUGAUGUUGCUAUGACUUUCCUAUGCUUAAUGCUUGUCACUAGGGCCCGAGUGCCAUGAUUUCAGAUCUGAACCUAUUAUGUUUUCAUGAAUAUAUGUGUGUUCUUGAUCCUAUCUUGCAAGUCUAUAGUCACCUAUUAUGUGUUAUGAUCCGACAACCCCGAAGUGACAAUAAUCGGGAUACUUCUCGGUGAUGACCGUAGUUUGAGGAGUUCAUGUAUUCACUAUGUGCUAAUGCUUUGUUCCGGUUCUCUAUUAAAAGGAGGCCUUAAUAUCCCUUAGUUUCCGUAAGGACCCCGCUGCAACGGGAGGGUAGGACAAAAGACGUCAUACAAGUUCUUUUCCAUAAGCAUGUAUGACUAUUUACGGAAUACAUGCCUACAUUACAUUGAUGAAUUGGCGCUAGUUCUAUAUCACCCUAUGUUAUAACUAUUGCAUGAGGAAUCGCAUCUGGCAUAAUUAUCCAUCACUGAUCCAUUUCCUACGAGCUUUUCACAUAUUGUUCUUCGCUUAUUUAAAUUUACGUUGCUACUGUUACAACUACUAUAAAAACCCAAAAACAUUUAUCUUUACUUUUGCUACCGCUACCUUUAUUAUCAUACCACUUUUUCUACUAAACACUUUGCUGCAGAUACUAAGUUAUCCAGGUGUGGUUGAAUUGACAACUCAACUGCUAAUACUCAAGAAUAUUCUUUGGCUCCCCUUGUGUCGAUUCAAUAAAUUUGGGUUGAAUACUCUACCCUCAAAAGUUGUUGCGAUCCCCUAUACUUGUGGGUUAUCAGAAGGGAACGACACAGAGGCAGGGAAGACUCGGCAAUUGUUUCCCACGCGGAGGGGAGUACGACUGUACGAGGGUUUAUUGGUUCUUCUGCCGUCGCCGGAGAAUAACAGUAGGUCUGAGUGAGUAGAGAGAUGGCUAGGCCAGCGAUGGGAGUACGGUGGGGAGGUGAGGCCUGCGCGGCAGCACAGCAGGCCGUUGGGAGGAGGGAGCAGGCAGUCCCGCCGGCGCUUGUUUGAGCGGCUGGAGCAGGAAGAGCAGAGAUUGAAGAAGCAUGACGGCCGUUGGAUGGACAUCCAACAGUCACUGCUUGUGCAUCGACCUUUUUUUAGGAAAGCCAUAAAUCUGUGGAAAACAGCAUACAGCCCAUCUGCCAUUAUUUCUAAUAAUUUACAACCCAUUUGCUAAUUCUUAAGGUUUUUUGGAGCCCAUAUUCUUUUUGUUAGCAUUACAGUGGCCACGGUUAAAAAAUUAUACGAAAUUUUGCAUGUUUUGGUGCGGUUCGAACUGUUUUUAAUCCCGAAAUUUUGACUCACAUUCAAACUGAUUUUAAAAAUAAAUGUAUAUCAAUAUAAAAUCCAACAAAUUCUCCACGCAUAAAAAUUAAUGUAAUUUAAAAUCUUGAAAUGAAAAAAGAUAUUUGAAACUAAUUGCCGGUUUGAUGUGUUUUAAAAUUCUCAUUACUGAUAUGCCAUUUUCUCGGCCAGCGGAAUGAAGCUCUCCUCGUCUUGAAAGAUUUGCAGCCCAACAGGCCUGACAAAGCGACUUACUUGGUAAAUCACAAAAAAAAUGGGUUGUGGCCAUGGACCCAGCUGUUAGCCCGUCCCAGUCAACUUAGUAGGCCCACAAGUCAGCCUCCCACCAUGGUGGGUCCCAGCUAGCAGGGGGAGUAUUCAUUUUUUUGUGCGUAAUAAGGAGGCACUUCCGGUGGGUCCGAGCUGACAGCGGGGGGAAUGUUUUUUUGCGAAAUACGUUGGCCCGUCCGGUGGGUCCCACCAGUCAGGGGGGAAAUGUUUUUUCGCGAAAUAAGGUGGCCCGUCUGGUGGGUCCCUGCUGUCAGGUGGAGGAAUAAUUAUUUUGCGUGUAAUAAGGAGGCAGUUCCUUGCGGCCGCCUGGACCCAGUUGUCAGCCUCUCCACGUACAGUACUCUUCCGAUGGAAGUCGGUCAUUGACCAUGUUGACCAUGCUGCGCCGAGAGCACCAGGGCGGUGGUCUGGACGACGGUGAGGCCUAGGAAGGGGACGACACGGAGCCGGGGAAGACGCAGCAGUGGAAGCCCGCGCGGAUAGGAGUAUGAGGGUUCAUUGGUUCGGCUGUGGUGUGAGGCUGCCGUCGCCACAGAAUAGCAGGGGGUGUGGGUGAGUAGAGGGAUGGCCUGGCCAGCGGUGGGAGUAGUACGGGGCGGUGAGGCCUCCACGGCAUCACAACCGGCCACAGGAGGCAGGAGCACGCGACACGACCGGUGCUGCUUUGGACGGUUGGAGCAAGAAGACUAGAGGUUGAAGAAGCACUGCGGCCAUUGGAUGGACAUUGUACGAUCACUGCAGCUAGAAUCGUUUAUAUUGACUAAGUUGACAAAGCCCUUAGUACGCGUCAACUUAGUAGGCCCACGGCUCGGAUUUGGCAGAGAACAUAUAGCCCAUUUGCGACUUGUAAGAAUGUACAGCCCAUUUUUUAACUCUAAUAGAAUUUACUACAGCCCAUAUACAGUUUGUUAAAAGUACAGUCCAACUUCUAGCUAGGACAACGAUUAAUAAUUUCAAACAACCGCUCAAAACAGAAUUCAAAAAAAAUUCCCACAUUUUGAUAGGAUCCGAAAUAUUUUUAUCCGAAAUUUCUAGUUAGGUUAAAUAUAAUUUCAAAAUAAAGUUGUAUUAUGUUAAAAUCCAAAGAAAUAUUGUGCGCGCAACAAGUAAUGAAAUUAAAAUUUCCAAAUUCCAAAAAUAAUAUAUUUUUCAAACUAAUUACGUGUUUGGCGCAUAGUAAUUGCCCAGUUAUUAUAAUUACAUCUCAUUUAUUAUUUCUUAAAGUCCAUUUCCUUGUUAAGCCUAAUGCAUACCUCCUAGGAAACUUUGCAGCCCAGCGGGGCGGAUAACAAGUUGACCCGGAUAUUGUGUACAACUGUCGGCCAGUUGCAUUGCUGAUGUUGAAAAAAAGGCAUGUGUAGUAUAGUACAACCUAACAUGGUUACUCAGCCCACAUUCAGCGACGCCGGAAAGGCCCAAACAAGGCUUCUGUACAACUUUUUGAAGUCACUGAGCUCAAUUAAUAACUUAAGAAAAAAGUUAGAUUACAGUGGAACCUAAUUAAAAGCUGUCACGGGCAAAUAAAUAAUUCAACGGGUCCCACUUGUGCGUGUGCGCAUGUGUGUGUGCGUGUGUGUGUGUGUGUGAGAGAGAGAGAGAGAGAGAGGCCCAUCGGUCGAUGCUCAUAAAUACAUCUUUCAGCCAUAUGCAUUGCCGAUGCUCAGUAAAAACUUGUAUAGUUGACACAAUCAUAUAGAACAUCAUAGCACACUGAACUUGCAUACAAAAAUUUCCCGCAGGCGGCACAAUCAGGAUGGAAGCAGUGGAUCGCUACGGGAAGAGCUAUGUUGAAACCAACGAAGUCGUACAUAACGGUUCAUCGUCUUUAUAAAUGACAGGGAAAUAUCUUGAAUGUUGUGCAAAGAAAACAAACAAACAACACAAUAAGUUCUGCUAGCACAUUAAGUUGACGUACAGCCCUUUCUAAAAAAAGUUCAGGUACAAAAUUAGAAUAGGUCACAAUCAAAUGUACUGGCAUAUUAGUGCUUCAGACCCAUAGCUCGGAUUUAACUAGUACUAUCUGACAAGAUUUAGUUGUUACCUCAAAUUAGAGCACAUCCAGGCAGCCAGCCCUGCCUCUUCUACCAAAGAAACAGUGGCCUCCGCCGCGCGAUGGAGUAGGCCCUGUGCCAUCCAUCGUUCCGAGCAACACGGGGAAAGUCUGACGUUGACUCCUGUAAUGGACGUCGUCAAUGGACCCUGGCACCAGCGGCGGCGGCAGGACUUCAAUUGAUGGAUUGACCACUUCUUCGACAUGCACGAACACUCGAUACAGGUACAUCCCUAACGUGGUCCGCGGCGGCCUUGGUGGCGACGAAUAGUACAACCCCGGUUCCUGCACCGGUAUCUCAACACCAAUCACCUUCGGUAUGGUGGACGGCUUCUUCAUCCAUGCCAUAAUCGUUAGAGCCCAGCAGUCUGGAGGAACAAACAUACUUACGAGCUCACCUCCAAGGUCAUUGAUAAGCUCGUUCAUGGACUCGCUGUUCCAAGCACAUCGAGGCAUGCCGUGGAAGGUAAGCUUUGUUAAAAACUCAAGCUCAAAGGGCACCGAGCCCCAUCCUGGGUGCCACCGAUCAAAGCUCACCAGCACGCCAUCGCAGAACAAACGCCGGGAAGAUUCGAACACACGACUGCAGUCGAAAGUUUUCCGGAACCUGACAAAGAAAUCAGUCGGUGGCGGACAGACUUCGACGAGCAAGUUACUUAUUUGGAUGUUGUGCGCAAUGCCAAGAGCUUUGACAAGGUCGUCCGGCGAGACGGGAGGCCGGUCGCCGUUGAUGGUUACCAUCAGCACUUUGCCGGUAAACUAGUCGUCAAGCUCUGCCAUGCCACUGUUGAGCGAUAGCACACAGCGACCGAAGGCCGGACGGACCUCAGGAUCUCCAGCUCGGAGAUCCGCGUUGAACAGUGACAUGAUAGUGCGCUUGAGUACAGGGAGUACAGGAGGGGGAUUUGGGGGAACUGGAGUAGGAAUCGAGAUUCCAGAGGUGGGGGAGGGACGGGAGACUGGGUAUGAAAAGGUAGCAUGAAUUUUGAGCACGCGCCAAUAUGCUCUCAGCGCGUAAGCACACGAAAACACCGGUGGUGCCCACAUGUCGGCCUAAGAGUCCUUAUUCUUUCUUUUUUGGAGAGCCCGGCCUUUUUUUAGGAUCUUUUGAGAGCCCGGCCUGAGAGUCAUAAUUGACCUGUUUGGCAUUGCGUUACUACUCGGCCCAUAUUCAACGACACCUCACUGGCCCAAACAAGUGUACAUCAUUGAAAAAACAGUGAGCUCAAAUUAUAUAACUUGAAAAAAGGAGAUAUACUCUGAACACUAGAGAAUGGUCAUGCCCUCAUUUAGCCCACCAGUAGUUCGAGACAAUAAACAGUUCGAAACAACGAUAUAUACAACAUUCAAACACUGACUAGUGACUACUACUGACAUAAACAGCAAGACAUGAUAGUUCAUAAGAAGUCUUGCUACACCACCAAAACGCAACCAUCUGCAGCGCUCAGACUCUCGUGAUCCAGACGAGAAUGACAUUCUAAACAGAAGCAACUAUUACAUAGAAAGAGUGACAUAGACAAGGAUGACCAAAUGACAAGGAAUAUGCAUAACAAAAGAAAGAACUACCCAUCCAGAACCAGUAGCAAAGACAACAAAGUCAUUCGAAUAGAUGAUCCAACACCAUCAUAAUUUGCAGCCCCGCUUCAGCGACCAGUGAUCCAGAGACACCAGUACUCCACCCUUUCGAUGCAACAACCCAAUUACCUAUCAACCUGAAGGCUUGAACCACAUCACUGCCUGUCGUAAUUGAGACAUCCAAGGAUCAAAGUUAAUCCGGAUGCCUUUGUCAUUCUCACCUUCUUUUGGCUGCAGGCUGUAUCAUUGACAAUCAGGGGAGUUUGCUCCCGAACUCCUAGGGCUCCCCGUGUAGACACACUUUUCCAUAGCAAACAGAGACUCUAUGCCAUCAAGGUCCUUGCCAACGGUGAUCUCCUGGUUAAUCGGAUAAUUGAGUCCGAGAAACAGAGAGUGUGAACCAAGGCUGUUUACCCGCCUCCAACUAAAAAAUCCUAAAGGCCCCAACAAGCUUGUAUCCUGCUCAUAGACGUAACAGCCACUGUCCGGAUACUCACGUAUUACACGGUGCUUGUAUACAGUGGGGUUUUUGCAAUAUAACUUUUCUGGCUCAUGUGUCCGAAUGAUCAUCAGUCAUUUGUCGUCGUCUGAUCGAGCGAGGAACCAGUUGUGCUUCCCUAUUUUUGGCAAAGGUGGUGUGAUUACAAAGGGCAGUAACUGUAGGGACACUGCAUCAUAUCAAAAAUGACAUGCAUUGUUAAUGUAAGAUCAGCAUUGUUUAGAGUAUGAGUAGGAUAAUGCAAGAAAUAGCAUUGAUAUGUCCCUGUUGGAACUGGGAGGAAAAGACAGGGAAAUGUAUACUAGGUUCGAAAAUAUAGAAGUGCCAUGCAUGGUUAUACUCAUGUUAUCUCGCAAUCAAUUCUUCACAGGAAACUACCAUGUCAUGCAUGUUAUGUAAUCAUGUUCUGUCCUCACAAACAAAUUCUUCAAGGUAACUAACAGACCAUGCAUUGUUAUAUACUCGUGUUCUGUGGGCAAAAAUUUUGUGAGGAUAUUAUUCUAGCCAUUGAUUGUUGAAGGGCGAAUAUAGGUAUCUACACAUGGUAAGCAUUGCAGGAUUUCACUACUUCCAAAUAUAGAGUUCUCCAUAUGCACAUUUACUUCCCUAAUGUAUGGUUAGAUGAAACCAACAGUGUGGUGCAUGUUUCUACAUCAUGAAAAUGAGGAAACUAACAUGGCCAUUGAUACACACUCAUAUUUAGUAGUAGUAUAUAGAUUACUGUAAAAUAAGGAUAAUAUCCAUAUAUUCCUAACCGUUUGAUUAUUCAGGGUACAAAUUGGUUGUAAUGACAUGGUCACAAUCGCAUGAAUUAACUCAUUCCAAAUAUACCUGAUUUACGGCGUCUCUAAUAUAUUGCCAUAGUUCUACUCAAAUUCUGCUCAAACAGGGAUAUGCCAAUCAUCACAAAAAGUUCAAACAGUGUCAUGGCCUCAUCAUUAACAUGAGACGGAAACAACUUACACGUGUCGUCCCAGCAAUACGUGGUGCCAUCUGCUUUGUCGAUCACGUAGAUGAUGCCAUUGUGUUCAAUAGCAUCACAGAAGUGUGUAUCAGCUUUGACGAUGAUCCACUGCAAGCCGAGUUGUCUCCAGCUAAAGAAGGCACUGGCGUAAAGAUAGGCGAAUCCGCGGUCGAACAAGGCAACUAGAUUGAAGUCUGUGUAAUUCGCAUGUCAUGUGGGCACUUGGCAUAUUACAAUCUUCUGCAAAACAAGGUCCGUCCAACUGACGUAGUAAUCUAGAUGACUUGGACCGCGAUGGUAAUACUCUAUAUAAUCCAACGGAGGAAGGAUAAUCUCAUGGGAGGUCUGGAAGUUCACGAGCACCAACUUUUUACCGUCUUCUCUGAAGGCAGCCAUCCAGUGGGAGUUCAUGCCGACCCUGUACAUACCUGCCAAGAAGUUUCGGGCGAUGGUGAUCGGAUGAUGUCGAGGGAAAUGAUGUACGGUGACACACUACAUACAUGCAAAGAAGUUUCGGCUAAUGGAGAUCGGAUUGAAGUCGACGAGCAUCAUGCACGCCUCCGUAUCAUGGUGAGCCAAUCUCGCAAGACCAGAUAGCAGCAAGCAGGGUGUCUUGAAAAGCUUAGGCCUCGCUUCGACGAUGGUCGUGUGCAUGUCCCUCGAGCAUGCAGCCAGCCGCAGGGCGGUCAACAUAUCCAUACACGAACAACAGAGGUCGAGGAUGUCACUGGGGAUAUUGCUCCAAUCGCAGCUCAUAUGGAUGUUGCGCGGUUCACGUUCAGCCAUGGUGGAGUUUGGAAGGGGGCUUGAUUUACGGGGGAGAAGGAUGUCGGUGCUGGAGCGGCUAGCGAGGGAAUAGUGGUACUGGGGGAGGCGAGUGAGGCGACGGUACACGGGGGCACAGUUAGAUGGAGACGGAGACAGAGAAGGAGAUGGAGAUGGAGAUGGAGUGGUGCUAUGGGAGCGGAGAGGGAGACGAGGUGAGGCACCAAUGUGCUAUAAAGCGGCGGUGACAGACUGCACAGUGCAUAGGGUGAGGCUGACUUUGGUAACCCGAACACGCUGCCUCGCCUGGACUAGUGUCAGGCGCAGGGUGUUGUCACUUCACUGUGAGGACUGGAUGAAUAGUAUUUUGGCCAUCAAGUGUACCACAGUUGUACUACUACUACUAGUAGUAGGAAUAUGAGUACUCCAGUAUUGUAUAGCGGAAAUAGGUCUCCCGUGCUAGCAUGCCUGUUCACUUCAUCGUUCAGGUAUCAUCCAUAUUGCGAGCAGAGCCAAAUUCUCGUGCAUGCCCAAUCAACGCCCUGCCGCGAUGCAUGCAGUGGUCGUUCUGGUGCAUCAAGGACGGCAUGCAGAUCGUUCCACACUUAAGAAGAGGAAAAAUGGAAAGGUAGAACGCGGUAGCAGAGGAAGAGAACGCUGGCUAACGAGGAUGGGAGGGGAUCGAGCAGGAAGUUAAUGCUCCACGCCUAAAGGUUUCGAGAUAGCUGCAAGGUCCAAAGAGCUUGUUGCAAAGCCAGAAGAGGAGGAGAAGGAGAAGAAGGAGAAGAAGGAGAAGAAGAAGAAGAAGGAGAAGAAGAAGAAGAAGAAGAAGAAGAAGCAGAAGAAGGAGAAGAAGGAGAAGAAGGAGANNNNNNNNNNNNNNNNNNNNNNNNNNNNNNNNNNNNNNNNNNNNNNNNNNNNNNNNNNNNNNNNNNNNNNNNNNNNNNNNNNNNNNNNNNNNNNNNNNNNNNNNNNNNNNNNNNNNNNNNNNNNNNNNNNNNNNNNNNNNNNNNNNNNNNNNNNNNNNNNNNNNNNNNNNNNNNNNNNNNNNNNNNNNNNNNNNNNNNNNNNNNNNNNNNNNNNNNNNNNNNNNNNNNNNNNNNNNNNNNNNNNNNNNNNNNNNNNNNNNNNNNNNNNNNNNNNNNNNNNNNNNNNNNNNNNNNNNNNNNNNNNNNNNNNNNNNNNNNNNNNNNNNNNNNNNNNNNNNNNNNNNNNNNNNNNNNNNNNNNNNNNNNNNNNNNNNNNNNNNNNNNNNNNNNNNNNNNNNNNNNNNNNNNNNNNNNNNNNNAGAAGAAGGAGAAGAAGAAGAAGGAGAAGAAGAAGAAGGAGAAGAAGAAGAAGGAGAAGGAGAAGAAGAAGAAGAAGAAGAAGAAGAAGAAGAAGAAGAAGAAGAAGAAGAAGAAGAAGAAGAAGAAGAAGAAGAAGAAGAAGAAGAAGAAGAAGAAGAAGAAGAAGAAGAAGAAGAAGAAGAAGAAGAAGAAGAAGAAGAAGAAGAAGAAGAAGAAGAAGAAGAAGAAGAAGAAGAAGAAGAAGAAGAAGAAGGAGGAGGAGGGCAUUAUGGAUGGAUGAACUAUUUCCUCUCUUGUAAAAAAAAUAUUCCCUCUCGGUGUAUAUUGAUAUAGAUGGACUAUUUCGAUGGUGUGCAUGUCUUUGGAACAGAGUAGUAGCGUGGGUCCGCUUGACUAUAAGGAACUAUUUAUCCGCAUAUAUAGCUUUCUCUGAUACUCCUUCAAGUGAUCGGUAUGCAGUGCAUGUGUCCGUAGACAUGACAGCUUGUCCAUGGAAGUUCAACUACGGCGACCAUCAUGUUUCAUCUCGUGAUUCCCACGACACCGCUCCAACCCACGGCACCACGCCCCCCAACAUGCGCCUCACCCCUCUCGACCGCACCGCCCCUCUGCCUUUGCGUGCAUGACAUGUGGGCCACCUAAAAUGCGGCGAGCAUCAAGUUUCUACCACAGCCACCCGUGAUUCCCACGACGCCGCUCGAACCCAUGAAACCACACGUCCCCCGACCUGUGGCUCACCCCUCUUGGCCCCACUGCCCUCUACCUUCGGGACCAUUACAUGUGGACCAGUCACCUAUCGGGUCCACAUGUUAUUGACUCAAAGGUAGGUGUAGUAAGGCGCUGAAGCACAGUCCCGACAGCCCUGAGAGGGAAAUGUAACUCCUGCGCCAGGGCUUGUGGUGCUCCCGCAGCACAAACUCGUGCCAAACUCGAGAUUUGUUUCUUUACUAUACAUGCACGCAACAAUUUAAUGGACAUUGUAAUCUCAACAUGUGAUGGGGAGCUCUAAAUUUGAAUUUGAAACUUAUAAAACGAAAAGAUUCAAAACAAAUAAACUGGGAGAGAGGGAGUAUAUCGUAGGAUGUGCCCCAUACAAAAUAAGUCCCCUGGUUUGUCACCGCGAAGAUGCGGUUAGAAAGGAGCACAACUUCUUCCUACUCGUACGGCAACAAAUCGGCCGCAGACAGCAUGGUCCGCCUUUGACCGCCAUGUGCAAGGUUCGUGCUAUCUUAUUCAAUCUCACCGUGGUUCCAUCGUACCAAUUCAUGUGGUGGCCCAUUGCAUGGCUGAUCCCAAUGUUGGACAAAGGUUCUACGGGAACGGUGUCACCGUUGUAAAUGUUGUGCAAAUUGAUGUUGAUAUCCUCCCGUACAUAUGCAAGCCAAUCUCCACUCGCACUGAGCCUAGCCUGUGAAACAGUGGGCAGGGGGAGAAUUAGGAAAUGGACACGUAAGUAGUCUUUAUAAUGCAUUUACUACGUGAUCAAACUCAUCUUACCUGCUCAUCGGAGGAAAUCCGAGUGCCCCUCAACAUUGGCAUCUCAAGGGGCAUCAACUUGCAACUACGGCUACGCCGCACUGGAGAGACCCCCAAGGAAACAUCCUCGUGCGCUCCACGGAACAUCAAGAUGCAUUUGUAUGAGUAGUUUAUCUUGUGAGAGAAAAGGAUGAAUGAGGGAAGGCCUCUAGAGAUAGAGAUGGACACUACUACUACCAAUGUGCUGGCACGUGCGUUGCAAUGGAUCCAAACUAGUAGAAUAAUACUUGUUCACGUGCUUGAAAUAUAAACACUCUAGUUUUGAUAUACAUGUGUCAGCAGACACGACAGCUUGUCCAUGGAAGUUGAACCACGGUGACCAUCACGUUUCUUGUUUCUACCACUGCCACACCCACACACGAUUCCCACGACGCCGCUCCAACCCACGGCACGACGUCCCCGGCGUGGACAUGGAUCCUCUGACAUGGCUAUCACUGCCUUGCCCUGCCUUUCCUUCGCUGACAAGUGGGACCCACGCUUAUGGGUCCCACAUGUCAGUGACAGAAUGGUAGGAUUGUUCGUGCCCCUCAUCCCUCUCAGCCCCACCGCUCCUCUGCCUUUGUGUGCAUGACAUGCGGGCCAGCUGAACUGCGGCGACCAUCAACUUUCUACCACAGACACACCCGAUUGGACGCGGUUUGCCUGCUCCGCUGCUGUGCUCCGAUCCGUACUCCCGCACCAUCGAAUUUUCAUCCAGCGGCUGUGACACAUUUCAUCCCGGGCAUCAAUCCUCAGCUGGACUACUUAUGUACUACAGGUAGUACCCGCCGGGUGGCUACAGCUUUGUAUAGAAAGUUAAAAAGAAAGUUAAUUCCAUGUAUGAUUGUCCCUCUAUAAAAAAUUAAUUGCAUGUACAGUGUACACGUGACUUGCAGGGUGGCUACCGCUUUGUACAGAAAGUUAAAAAGAAACAAGUCCAUCCUUAAUAUUCUAAGUACUCUGUGGGUUCCACUAUCAGUAUAGUAGCGAAAGAAGUAUAUAUUAAAUAAGUAGAGUAAUAUAUAAUAUAAAAAUCUGAAGUUAAAAGACAUAAUUCGAACUCAUGUCAUCGCGUUGCGAGCAUCCGGCGCUAACCAGCCCAGCACAUUUUUGUUGUAGACCAUGCUGGAGAUAUAUCUCCAUGUCUACUCUUAUAUAUACUCCAUUCGUUCCUAAAUAUUUGUCUUUUUCAGAUUUCAAAUGGACUACCACAUACAGAUGUGUAUGUAGACAUAUUUUAGAGUGUAGAUUCACUCAUUUUGCUACGUAUGUCUUUUCAGGAAGGGGUCAGAUUUGUCCUUGAUUUAUUUACGAGGCAUCCAGAUGGCACUGCACCGCCAAGAAAAGAGGGUAACAUCAAAAUUAUGGACUACUUUUUUGAGUAUGUUUGUAAGGUCCGGUCAUAGUCACUUGUUAAAAUCUCUAAAAAGACAAAUACUCCCUCCGUCUGGAAAUACUUGUCAUCAAAAUGGAUAAAAGGAAAUGUAUCUAGACGUAUUUUAGUUUUAGAUACAUCUCUUUUUAUCCAUUUUGAUGACAAGUAUUUUUGGACGGAGGGAGUAGAAAACAGAGUUGGUGAUGAUGGUGUGCGUGCCAUCCUGCAAUAUAGGCCGUCGGAUUUAUAUCUAACGGAUAGGAAAGAAACUAUGGUAAUCUUGCAAAAAUAUACCCACACAUCUCUCCAUGUUCGCAAAUAAGGCCUUCCCUCGUUCAUUCUUUUCUCUCACAAGAUAAACUACUCAUACAAAUGCAUCUUGAUGUUCCGUGCAACGCACGGGCAGCUAGCUAAUUACUUUUAAAAUAGUUGCUGUGAUAAUUGGGUUGAAGUGAUAUAUUUUAUGUCUGUCCCGAAUGAUUUCAGAUUCACUAGUAGUAACAAAGAAAAGGUUGCCUUGUUAAUUAACAGAAAACAGGGUGAAAACUAUCACAUGAGGCCGGUAAAAACAAGGCACACUGGGUUUAGCGUCAUCGUCACUACAGCUGUGCGCGUGCGAGAAGUCUACAUAUCGAGGGGGCUACCGUGCGAGGCACCGAGACACAAUAUUUGAGAGAGAAACAAAUUGACAAAUUAUGAUCGGAUCGAGUUUUCACCCUUCUGCUGUCAUUGUUGGGGGGGGGGGAUGGAGAGAAAGACGUAUCGAGAGUGUGCGCGGUAGGCACAGAGGCACAACUAGCGAGUGUGUGUGUGUGUGUGUGUUUGAAAGAGGAGUAGAUAGAUUAUUAUCAAGAUCGAUGUGCCACCCUACUCCUUAGGUGCCGGGCAGUGUGUGUGUAUGUUUGAGAGCUAAUCCAGUCGAUAGAUUAGUAUCAAGAUCGAGGUGUCACCCUGCACCUUCGGUGUCAGGUAGUGUGUGUGUGUAUGUAUGUUUGAGAGAGAAGCCAGUCGAUAGAUUAGUAUCAAGAUCGAGGUGUCACCCUACUCCUUUGGUGUUGGGAAGUGUGGGUGUGGGGGGGGCAGUAAUGCUCACAUAUCUCUACUCUUAUAAAUAAACAGAGUUGGUGAUGAUGGUGUUCCUGCAAUAUAGGCAUCCGAUUUAUAUCCUACGGACAGGAAGGAAAAUAUGGCAAUUUUGCAAAAAGAUACCCACACCCCUCUCCGCAUUUGCAAAUAAGGCAUUCCCUCGUUCAUCCUUUUCUCCAACAAGAUAAACUUCUCAUACAAAUGCAUCUUGAUGUUCCGUGCAACGCAUGGGCAUCUUGCUAGUAGGGAGAAGGAGUUUGUGUGACACAUAUCUAGCUAUAUUAAGGGAUAGGUAGAUAGCAUAUGUGUGAGAGACAUUAUUAUACUUUGAGACAUUAGUGGUUGUGGGUGGGCAGAAUUAAAGGGGUGGGCGUGUUAGACAUAGAGAGCGUGUGUGUUUUUGUGUGAGAGACUUGUAGGACGGGGUAGAAAGACGAAUUUAACCUUGACGGAGGGAGAGAAAUACACAAAGUGCACGUGUGUGAUUCCGAUGCCCACAGGGAAAUGAGAUAUGUAUGCGUGUGAGAAAGAUUGCACAAUUCAUUCAUGUAUCACUAUCUAGCGAUCGUGGACGUGCAUCGUUUGAACAUAAGUCAAUAUCUACUUCGUAUCGUGGCCAAAGGUACAAUAUCGAUUCAACGCUACAAAGAUUGGACACUCACAUAUCACAUUUUUUCUAUUUAAAUAAACCUUUUCAGUUGUGCAUGCCAAAGUUACAGUGAUGUUUCUUCAAACAACCAAUGUAGCUAUCAUGUACAUGCACCAUUGUUACUCUUGCAUUCAAAUUCAUUAGUCUUGGAUGAUUUAAGUUUCUAUUUUGAAGUAAUAUAUGUAAUAUUCAUAUAUGAAUUCAACGGGUACGCAAUUUAUGAUAUGGAGGCUAUGUAAUCAUAUGAGGUAACACUUUUAAGUAGCUAACUACAAUAUCCAUUUCUUUUCGUGCGCCUCUACACUAACACGUCAAUGCAUUAUGUUUAAAGUAAAUAACCAAUGGUACUAAAUUAUCUAUUUACACGAGAAAUACAUAGGCUGAGCGUUUGAUCUCCUUUUUUGUGAACGUGCCACUACACCCGUACGAUUGGCCGCGCCCGUGUGAACGUCCAAGUUAUCGGCACAUCAUCCCGAGUUAUUGUCUUUUUUUCUGGGGUGGACUUCACACCAGUUAUUAACUGCUGACGCGUGCCCCGUGUACACAGUCUAGCAUGACCUUCCCACUAGCACGGUCCAAAAUUAGUUGAAACUGGAUACGAACGAUCCCACGGGCGGAAAAAUCUCCCACCUCAUUCUAAAAUUUCCACCACCUUAGUCUUUAGCAUGCAAAAUCCCCCUUUUGUCCUUGGUGCACAGAGACCAACAGUUACAAUACCGCCCUCAUCUACAUGAUAGGUCGGGGCUGCUUUGGUAACUUCCGGUUCCCCCCACUACACAGCACCCCCAUUUCCUCUCCCCCUCCCGCAAAAAUGACUAACUCCACAGCACCAGAGCAUCUUACAUCACGCCAUCCGUACUUCAUCGCCCUUUCUCCCCUCCCCUCUCGAAACCCUAGACUGCUCAUCCACCAGCGUACCAUAGCCCAUUCACUGCCAGCGACGUCCACCUCGCCGGAUCUGCUUCUGCGGCCGCAUCUACCCCUCCCACCUCCCCUAGAAACAAGUAGACUGCUCAUCCACCACUGUACCACAGCCCAUUCAGUGCCGGCCUUGUCCAUGGCGCCGGAUCUGCUUCGCCGGUACUCUCGUCAACUGCCGCGCAUCUGCAGCGGCUCAUUCGUACUCCCCACCGAAGACGCUUCAUCCACACCCCCCGGAGCUGCCCCACCGACAUCCCCGUCGAUGGCCUCUGAUCCUCUUCGUUGACACCUUCUUCAACCCUACCGGAGCCGCUUCGCCGACACCAUCCUCAACCCUACCGGAGCCGCUUCGCCGACACCAUCGUCAACCCUACCGGAGUAUCGCCUAUACCAUUCUCAACCCUACCGGGGCCGCUUUGCCAACUCACAAGUCCACGGCCUCAGAUCCGCUUCCUCGCACCCUCAUCCAACCUACCGGAGCAGCUUCUUACGCCCCCUCCAUGGCCGCAGAUCUGCAUCAUCGACACCACCCUUAACCCAACCACCGGAGCAGCUUCUGAUGCCCCGUCCAUGGCCACAGAUCCGCAUCGUCGACACCAUCCUUAACCCAACCACCAGAGCAGCUUCUGACGCCCCGUCCACGGCCGCAGAUCCGCGUCGUUGACACUAUCCUUAACCCAACCAUCGGAGCAGCUUCACCUACGCCCUUGUCCACGGCCACAGAUCCGCUUGGCCCACACCAUAGUCCACCCUACCGGAGCCGCUCCACAAACACCCUACUCGACGGUUCUAGAUCUCCUUACCGGACCCUGACAGCCAGCGCAGCGUCAUCACCCUCGACGUUUCUAACCUGAUUCCCACCGUCUGGAGAGAUGCCAAGCACCCGCCACGGCCUAGGUACUUGUCACCUUUAAAUCCGUCCAGCAUCACCUGCCCGAUGUACUUCAAAUAUACUAACCGGUUGUUGUUACCUAUUAUGCAGCUGGCAAAAACUACAAGGAUGAUGUUUCUUCUGGAUCUAACAGCUUGGCCAACCAAGAUCCUGGACUGAGGCAUUGCUAUGAUCUUGUAAGCGCGUCUCUCUCUCUCUGUUGUAUUGUUCUGUGCCUGCCAGCGUGCUUUGCUAGGAUUUUCGACCAGUAUCCCUUUGUGCAGACAAUGAUUUCUACUACUGGAUGCUAAAUUAGAUAUAUAGAUGUCAUACAUGAUACUACCUCGUACCUCUGUUCCUAAAUAUAAGUCUUUCUAGAGAUUCCACUAUAGGCUACAUACGGAGCAAAAUGAGUGAAUCUACACUCAAAAAUGCAUCUAUAUACAUCUGUAUGUGGUCCAUACUGGAAUCUCUACAAAGACAUAUAUUUAGGAACAGGGGCAGAACAUUACACAAAAUCGUAGGUGGCAUGUAGGAAUUCCAGUGCACUAUAUUAGGCUCCCUUAGAGUGCCUGGUAGUCCAGCAUACAGAGUCAUGGCUAGUUUAUGGUACGCACACAAUCGUUAAUUGGUGGUUUAAAUUUGCGCAAGGGAUAUGCAAUGUAGUAUCAUGUAGAGAUGUCUGAAAUUAGCCGUGUCAACUUGCAGAUAGGGUUACACAAUGAAAAAGUACAAGAUGUAUGUGGCAAUUUCAUGGAACAUCGCAAAAAAAGGAGAGGCAGCGGUGAGCCUAUACAGUGUGCUAUGGUAUGUCACUCCUCCAUUGCAAUCAUCGUGACAUGUUAUUUGUAUGCCAGUUCUAUUAGCCAAGUUUCUUAGGGACAGUUAUUAUGAGUUAUCCUAAGAAAAUAAGCACCUGUGAAUAUAAGCUCCAUGUAAUAAGCCAACCAGUUCUUUUGAUUGUGUUUUCAGCUUAUCUUUGAUAUGAUUAGUGGAAAGUAUAGGUUGCAUUAUAUAUUUUUCAUUUUGCUGCCCAUAUGGAAAUUAAUUUGACUUGCAAACAUCACAAUUGAACCCAGUGCAGUAAUUAAUAUGAUAGGAAAACAGACCAUCACUAUUUGCUCAAAAUGCAAAUACGAAGAUGCCAUCUACUUGGCACAAUCUACUUUGGUCAAUGUUUUCCACAGAGAUCCCAUUGCCUAAUUUAAACAAAGAAUGCAUGACCCACAUUUAAAUGAAGAACAAUUAUUUAUUAAAAUUCGAUGGUCCAAGUGGCUGGUUAUUACCAUAUAGCAGCACCACCUGAAAGCAUCAUAUAGCAGCAGCAGCAGCUCAUAGCAACUUAUCAUACAGCAGCAGCAGUCUGCAAUUCAUCAUAUACCAGCAGCAGCUCAUAGAAAUUCAUCAUAUAGCAGCAGCAGGAGCAGCUCAUAGCAAUUCAUCAUAUAGCAGCAGCAGGAGCAGCUCAUAGCAAUUCAUCAUAUAGCAGCAGGAGGAGCAGCUUGUAGCAACUCAUCAUAUAGCAGAAGCAGCAGCUCAUAGCAACUCAUCAUAUAGCAGCAGCAGCUCAUAGCAACUCAUCAUAUAGCAGCAGCAGCUCAUAGCAAUUCAUCAUAUAGUAGCAGCAGGAGCAGCUCAUAGCAAUGCAUCAUAUAGCAGCAGCAGAAGCAGCUCAUAGCAAUUCAUCAUAUAGUGGAUCAGAAUGAAAAUUUGGCAAAAAUCAGAGGAGAUCCUCACCUUGUUGGAUGAGCUCAUCCUUCAAUAGCACCUCAAGGCCAUGGCCUGGGAGGAGGGGAGGGGGAAUAAGGUGCCUUCUGCCGCAGUGUGGCAUCAGCUGUAGUUGUGCAGCGCCCGCCGGAGUAGUGCGUUGGACGAACCAAAGUGGAGCAGCUGCUGGAGACCAUGAGAAUGAGGGGCGGCGCCAGAGGGAGGAGCACCCAGGGAGAUUUGCCCCUAACCGUCGGCCAUGUAGCCUAGCUAGACAUAGCAUCGUCGAGGACCAGGCCAGAUGGGACCAGUGGCGAUGGCUCGCUGGAGGAACCCUAGUGCUGCAGGCAGGGGAUCGAGGUAGAGGGAAAGGGGAGAGGAGAUGCAAGCGGGCAGGGCAAUGAAUGCUUGCGUGUUUGUUUUCACUUGAGGGUCAGGUGUGACACGAGCGUCAGCAAUUGCAUUUUGAGUGUAAUAUAGGCAGACAACAGAGUCAUUUCACUAUUCCCCUUCCCUUUAAUUUUUAGUGAGGUUCUACCCGAAACACCCCCCUCCAAAGCGAAAUUAGUUAAGCCCAAGCCCAUAACUCAAAAAUGACUUCUUUACAUCUUUUAUGGCUUAUUUUGACAAUAUGCCCUGAAAAGGUGGAAUCAAACUGGCCCUGAUUUUCAAUUGUGCGUGCAAUUAUGAAUCACUCAUGCCUGCUAUCUGUACAUUUAGGCAUCAUCAUACAUGGCAUAACCUAAUACAUGUGCAUUCCAUUGUAGAAUCUGGAAUAUGCAAUGUUUAUGUUAGUUCAUACGUUGCACAUGAUGUUUAAAUGCCCCUUAAAUCUGGUCAGUCAAGUGAUGGUCUUUAAGCCUCCUUCUUUGCUUCUUUUCUUAAUAUGUAAGAUUUGCUCACACAUCUGUUCAAUUGCUUGUUUGCAUCAGCCAGCCAUACUAGGACUGUUUGCUUUGAUUACUUGUUAUUCUUGACCUAACACUCUAACAGUGCUUGUCAACGAUUUAAACACUAAGGGCUGCUGUAGUGGGGCCUUGUCUAACUCAUAGGUGACAUAAAGGUUUGGCUGUACACUAUAGUAGGCUCUCCAAGAGUACCUGGAGAUCCAGUUCGAAGGUAUGCCUAGUUUUUACAUAGUGCAGACAUAGUAAAUGCUCAUUUCAUUGUGUGCAAGUGCAAGAGAUGCGGCAUGUUUCAUUAUGUGGUGUUGUUUUGUUAUAAUCUCAUCCUUUUGUGUUCACAGACUGGAAAGUAUGCAUAUUUAUCUUCCAAGGAGAUGAGUAACUAGUUUGUGUCACCUUGCAGAGGGGGUGCAAUGAAGAUAAGAUUGAGGAUUUCCAAGUACAAGAUGUUAGGAAGGAGCCUUGCAAGAGAAGUAGGAGCUGUGCUGAGCCUCUUCAACCUGCUAAGGUAAGUCACUGUAUGCAACUCAACAGUUCAAUUCCUUGUUUGUUUCAGGCAUAGUUAAUUUUCUCUUUUCAAUUGCUUUAUUUGUCCUCACUUAAUGAGAUACCCAAAUAAUCAUGCCUGAUGUUCGGUACUUGUAUCACUAUUAGUUGACAUAAUUAAAGGCCUUACCAUUUAAUUACUCUGCCGAAGUGUGCCUGAAGCUUUGAAGUCUAUUAACCAACUAUUAUUGCAUGAGGCUCACAAUCUAGUUUAUACUACGCUAAUGAUUGCAUAGUUUUGCCUGAUGUAGUAUGUUUGUAUGAAACCCUUUGCUGUUCAUUAUGCUCCCUAAGACUUUAAUUGAGGUACAGAAUGGCCAACUGCUUGCUUACUUAUACGCAAUGUGUUGUCUAAAUUUGUAACUUGUCUGUGUUUUCGAUUGGGCCCCAACAUCAUGCUCCUCUGGUGAGCUAAGAGGGAUUUCUGUAUGCAGGCUGCAUAGACUAUCUUUUUUAUAAUUUUUAUAAUAUCACCUGCUUAUGCUUCAUGACGUGUAACAUUUUUUUGUGAAAGUGACGUGUAACAUUAUAGUUAGUCAUGUUUUGCCAUGUAGUACAAAAUAGUGUCUUGUUCGCUUCACUUUUGUAACUAUAUUUUUGCCCUAGUCAUGUGUACUUACAGAAACAUUUCAGGAUGAAGUGACAUCAACACAAAAAUCUGCGAGCAGUGCGGCAUGGCCGUUACCGAAUGAUUAUGGAUUGGAAUUGGAAUGUGCUGAUGUUCUUGAGCAUCAACUAGAGGUGGCAAGACAAUGUGUACAUGAUUGUCAACGUAUAAUCAACAAGUUGAGACUGGACAUGCAGGUAUUAGAUGGAGGAGUCAAAAAAUGAAACAAGACACCGAGGUAACCAUGAAGGAAUUGGAGAUUUUGCAGACUGAAAUUUGUGCUAUCUGAAUCCGGCCAAUCCUAUUUUCUGAAGAGAUUAUAGUUCAAAUGGAGUUAAGUUGAUGCGCGUCCAUGAUGUAUGAGUUGUAUUUGCCCAGUGUAUGUAAUUUGUUGUUUGUGUAUGCUUUAUUAUCACCUGUGCCGAACCAUUAUGCCCAAUGGGUAUAAUCGGCUGUAGUUUCUUUAUUGUAUAGUGUAGGAUUAUUCUACCUUUCUAUGCCUUGAUCUCUUUGUUGUAUAGUGUAUGCUUUUUAGAGGUGAUAGUAUUGAGUAGGAUAAUUCUUUGAAUAUGCUAUAUCGUUUAAACGGGGCCAACUCGCCCGACCAUGGCCCUUCACGGGGCCGUCGGAUCCAUGGGCCUUCUACGUUUCGUAGGAUCCAUGGGCCUUCUACGUCUCGUAGGAUCCAUGGGCCUUCUAUGUCUCAUAGGAUCCGUGGGCCUUCUACAUCUCAUAGGAUCCAUGGGCCUUCUAUGUCCGUAGGAUCCAUGGGCCUUCUACUUCACGUAGGAUCCAUGGGCCGCCGACUCAUUUAUGGGUCUUGUACGGGCCUUUAAUGGGCCUAGAUGGGCCUAUAAUGGAAAUCGUACGUUUUAUGGGCUGACCAUAACGGGCCGUUAAUAGGCCGUAUUUGGUGAUGCUAUGAAAAUGGCCCAACAGACUAACGGACCACAAACGGGACGACUAUAACGACGGGCUGCAUUUGGCCCACAAGCAGAAAAUGACAGUAACAGGCCGUAAGUAACCGAAUGCUACAAAUGAGCCCAAGAAUAAAUGGGCCCUCAGAAGGCCGAAAGUUAACUUGGGCUAGAAACGGCCCAACGGAAUAACGGUCUGUUAAUGGGUAUAAAGUGUUACACUGUUCAUUAGGGGCCAGUUUCACCGCGGGCCGUUAAUGGGUGUAAAGUAAUACACUGUUCAUUACGGGUCAGUUUCAGCACGGGCCGCUACUGGGCCAGGAGUUACAAAGGGCCUCAUAUGGGCCGAAAGAUGUCAUGGGCCAUACAUGGGCCAGAAGUGAAAAUGGGCUGGAAUCAUAUUGGAUGGCCCAGAUGACGCUACUGGGCUUAAUUCGCAUAGGGCGUAACGGGCCUUGGGUUAGCGGGCUGUAAAUGGGCUAUAUGCUAACAUGUCGUUAACAGGCUUUCCAUGGGCCGGCCCGCCAGCUUUUGACCAAGUCAAACGGGCCGGCCUUUUCACAGGAAUGGGUCACUGUUGGGCCGUGCCACGUGUCGACGUAUCAUAGGCGCCUUCUGUCUAGUGAGUGGAUGAAAUAUGUCCCAAUGAUGAGCCGACAUGUGUUUCCUCCAGCCAAUGAUGAUUUUACACGUGGAAAAUCCCCAUUGGUCGGGGCUGUUAACGGGUUAUCGGAUCCAAAACCCAACCCGAUAGCUUAACGGCGUUCCGUUACGGUGGAUGCCACGUGUCGGUCACCCUUGACGAAAGCACUUCUGUGACGCGUGAUUUAUCGUCAUGGAAGUGGACACUUCCGUGAUGAUAAUUUUGGUAACUAGAUGAUACCCCACGCGUUGCUGCAGGAAUUUGAUGCUUAUAAUGUUUAAUAAACUAUUUAUAGAAUAGUAGCAGGUCGUUGAAAAAAAUGGUUGGGAACGUAUAUAUAGUGUGUUGGAUACAGUUCUAUGGGCAAAGGCGGAUUAUAAAGUGUCCCAUAUAAACUGUCAAAUAUACAUGGUCUGUAGAUGAUAGCAUGAACUAUUCAUAAGUUUUUUUUUGCGGGUGAACUAUUCAUAAGUUUUGAUCAGGUGCAAAAAAUAUAUAGUAAUAUGAUUAAUAAAAAAUCAUUCCAGUACAAAUGCCAUCGCCAUGCAUGUGGUAUAUUCCACAAUCUUUUCUCUGUUGGCACAUACCAAUUGGCAAUCCAAUAUAGUUACCCUCCAACAUACAGCAGCUUACACAACAACAAAAAUAGUUGAAUAUUUUUCGCUAUGAAAAAAAGGCAGGAGGCACAUUAUUGCUACUGGUUUACGCAUAUAGAAAAGACUUCUACCUAGAAGCAAGGAAGAAGUAUGCUACCUGAAGGUACUGAAUAGCAGCUCAUGGAUUCACUAUCUUUUUGGAUAAUAGCACAGAGAUCUAGGAAAAACAAAAGGUAGUAUUUAGGUUAGCAGCAAAAUAACAAUGCGGGUAUAAGAAGACAGUAGCCAACUUCCAACAUAGCAAAAUAUUGAUGUAAGAGGACAGAAAAUGUUGAUAAGAAUAUUAGGCCUGUUCGGAGACUCGCUAGCUUCUUCAAAACUUCUCAUAUCCAGCUUCUCACCCGACUUCUCACUUCACCUGGCGUCCACCAAACCAUUCUGGAGCGAAGGCAGCUUCUUCCCGCACACGGGUCCAAAAAAAGAGAAACAAGCCGGGCCUGGUUUGGGCUUGCGAUUUGGGCUUGGGGGCACGGUCGUCCCAGUGCUGCUCCUGGCUCGGAGGGUCCGGACCGCUCCUCCGGACGUCAAUGGCGUCGGGACUAGCACCUCUGUGCCAUGGGGUCGCAGCUCCUGGCACCCCACACGAUUCGCCCCGCCGAGGAUUGGAUCUGGUGGGAAACAAGCUGGGACGACCGAAUCUGUAGGAAGAGGCGAGGAUCCGGUCGGCAACGGGGGCAGCCUGGCGCGGCGGCGGGGAACGGUGGCCGUGAGUGUUCGAGGGGAGAAGACGAGGUAGAUGGGAGAUGGGAGCGAGCGGUUCUGUUGCGGGUUCGAUCAAGGGACGAGGUGACGAAUCGUUUUCUCUCGCGGUGGCACACGGCUGUAAAUAACUACAACUUCUAAUUCACAAAAACGUGGAGCUGGGAAUCGGUAGCUUCACAAAAAUGCACUACAGCCCGUCGUGGCUUCCUAGAUUUCAGCUUCUUGAAGCUAUUGCGUUCGGGCUAGCUUCGGGCUGAGAUUUUCAGAAGUUUGAAGUGGGAGGAGAUCAGAACAGGUAAGAUGCAAACUUGCAACAUCUAUGGAGCUAUCUUAUUGAGGGUGGCAUGUAGAUAAUAAGCAACCAUGUAAAACUGGAGCAGCGUCAGGGCACUCGACCAUGCAGGAUGGACUGGCGAGAGGAAAGAGAGAGAGUUGGAGAAGCAUAUGCAUCUUGUAGGAGCCAUUCGGCUGAUGCUUACGCGCAACAACACUAACGGCAACCUUAGAGAAAUCAUGGAAGAGUGCGAUGAAGAAGAGGAUAAUGACCACAACAGUUGAAAUUUUCAAUCGGAACAUGCAUAUACACCCAGCCAUCAUGGAGACAACAGGGAUGAAGCCAAUCGACUACUUAAAGUGGAGAAUCUAUUACAACACCCCAUCAAUUACUCUUUCUUGGAGAAGAUGAAUAGGUAGAGAAAAAACCAUUAGUAAUUUGUGCCAAUGAAGGGGAGGUGACCAAGACGAAGGAAAUUAAGGAGACAAAAGAGCACAGAGUGCCAAUGAGAGCAAGGCAAGGGAAACAAAUAGUACCGGCAUACCAUGGAGGAGAUGAGUAGUCAAUCCGCCUGUGAGUCUUCGAGGUAGAUUUUAUACCUACAAUAUGCAUGUAGGGAAAAUGGAGGAGGGGCUGAGGGUCUGCAGCAUAGGUAGCAGCAAGGUUUCCAUGGCUCUACGAUGGCCUCGGGAAGGGGUGUGGAGGGCAGCUGCGGCUGGGCCAGGCUGAUAUAGUGAUAUGGAUGGUCGGAGGAGACCGGCUGGGCAAAGCCGACAGUGGUAUCUAUGGAGAAACUAUUGGCAUGCGGAAGGAGCGGUGCCACAGCAUGCAUCGAGUCUCCUGUUUGGGUGGUGGCGAGGCCGCUCGUGCUGGAGCUCACUUCCGGCGGCAGCAUAACAGGGGGAAGAUGUGGUGCAGUGCAAAAGGCAGCAGCGUUCGCUGGAGAGAAAAUACGGUGGGAGGGCGUGGAGACUUUAAGACUGCCUCGUACGUUACAAAAAAUGAAAGAAGAAAGGGAGAAGAAACGGCGACUUGGCACCGCACUAAACAAAAAUUGAAUGGAACGAUUUGUUGGUCUGCUAGUCUUCUUGUCUUCGGCUUGGCAACAGAAUGCUUGAAAAAGUUGUUGCUGUGGCAGGGACUGAUGAUGAGGUGGGAUCGUUUUGUUAGGUAUAUAGAAUAGGAAAAAUAAAAUAAUUGAUGAUAUGGCAUGUAUAAUGGAUAGGCUGCAUGUCAAGAGAAAUAUGGUAGUGGGGAUGAACUAUUUAAGUAUUAUAGAUUUCAUGGAACACUUCUACGACAGCACAGGUAUGACUAUCUUGAUUCUGUCAUAAAAUCGUCAUGGAUGUACAUGCAUGACAAAAAACGCGACCUACUGUGACAAACACGUAUCAUCGCGGAAGUGUAUAGGUCUUUAGAGCAGACAACGCUAUCUGACAAAGCGCAUGUCUUGUUGGUUACGGAUAGCUCGUCAGAGGAGGAUUCAGAGACAGAUGACCAGUCCUAUCCCCCCCCCGAGGUGCAUGCUCCAACUUGGCAGGAUUAUAUUGCUCAUAUCGUGCAUAUGGUAUCUUGCAUUGCGAUGUCAUUUGCUUAGUUUAGACAUGUUUUGUGUGAAUGCCACCUGUUUAGUGUCUAAUUACCAUAUAUGUGAAUUAUGCAAUGUCAUCUUGUUGCAAGACAUCAUAUAUGUGAAUUAUGCAAUGCUAUCUUGUUGCAAGGCAUUAUAUAUGUUAAUUAUGCAAUGCCAUGAAGUUUAGCCAAGCGUCAUAUAUGUGAAUUAUAUCAUGCCAUCCAUUUUUUGUAUUUCUCAUUGCAUUUGUCAACAAUGUUUGUAUAUUCAACUGCUCUUCCUGUGCAUCAGCCAUUUGAAUUGGUGAUGGAGAAAUCUGGAGUGAAAACAAGGUCUUCAGAGCAGACAAUGCUACCUGCUAAAGCGGAUAUCUUGCUGGUUACAGAUAGCUCUUCAGAGGAGGAUUCAGAGGCAGAUGACCAGUCCUAUUAUCCCCUUGAGGUGUAUGCUCAAACUUGGCAGGGUUACAUUACUUAUAUCAUGCAUAUGUUGUAUUGCAGUGCUUAGUUUUUAUAUCAUAUACACAAUAUUGAAUGCCAUCUCCUUAGUUGACACAUCAUAUAUGUGAUUGCCUCUGCUCACUUGCUUAGUAUAUAAAUCAUAUAUUUGAAUUAUAUCAUGCCAUGAUGUUUACAUAGACAGCAUGUAUCUGAAUUAUGGCAUGCCAACCCAUUUUCUAAAGACAUGAUAUAGUUAUAUCAUCUCAUCCUGUUUACAUAGUCAUCAUAUUUUGAAUUAUGUUAUUCUAUCCGUGAAUUAUAUCAUGCCAUCAUGUUUCCAUCGACGGCAUGUUCGUGAUUUAUGGCAUGCCAACCACUUUAAUAGACACAUCGUAUAGUUAUAUCAUGUCAUCAUGUUUACAUAGUCAUCAUAUUUUGAAGUAUGUCAUUCUAUCCUGUUUAAUUAGCCAUCAUACAUGUGAAAUUGUGUCAUGCUAUCCUGUUUAAUUAGCCAUCAUAUAUGUGAAACUAUAUCGUGCUAUUCUGUUUGGUUAGAUAACAUAAAUGUGAAUUAUUUCAUGCCAUGUUUUCUUCCCUACCGUCCAUUGCACCUGUCUAUCUUACAAUGUAUGUACAUUCAAUUACUUUUCUUGUUUAUCAGCCAUUUCAAUUGGAGGGCUGAUGGUAGUAUCUGUGGGAGUAAAAACACGGUCCUCAGAAAAGAUCGUGCUACCUGUCGAUGUAGAUAGAACCACGGUUGUACUUGCCCAAGAACCAGCCCCACCACACAUAACCCAGACUCACGCAGAUUGUACCCCUACCCAGUUGGACAGAGAACCAGCUACACCCCUUCUAACCCCAACCCCAGCAGAUAGUAACCCAGUUCCAGUUGACACAACAUCAUCUCCACCACAGAGCACCCAAACAUGAUCAGUUAGUAAGGCAACUACAGUUCCCAAAGCACGAGGACCACCACUCCGAACCCCAAGUCAAUGCUUAAAGCAGAAGAAGAAUUGUUCUCAGGUCAGGUUCCGUAGCUAUGGUUCAUACUACUUUGCUCUUGCAUCACUGUAUUUACUCAUAUCAACUAAUUUCAAAUUUGAAGGAUGCAAUUGAAACCCCAAUGGCACAAUAGGUAUGUUUUAAACCUGUUUCUUUAACGUGUUUGUUGUUGUAACUUGCUCUAUGUUGAUUUCAGAUUCAAUUGAAUGAACAGUUAUGUUCUCAUGCCAUGCACAUUACAAGUGUUGUUAUUGCUGUGUAGUUUCCCACACUUAUACUUUGUCUGUGCUGCUUUGUAUUAAAUAGAUAAGAUUCGAACUGUCUCUAUCUUGAUUUGGCAACAUAUACUAGAAUGAUAUAGACCAUACAGUGACCAUACUACAUAGAUAUAUGUUUGUUUCGUGCUGUUAUCCUGUCCACCUUACUACUGAACCGGUUUACCAAAAUGUGUUUCAUAUACAACAUGGUAAACUUGUGAUGUGUUUGUUUGUUUCUCUUUUAGAACGCGGAUAAUAUAUUGGAGAAGAGUACCCCCGUUAUGCAAUGGUAAAGGAAUUAAUGCAGAUAAGGUUCAAGAUAGUGAGACAUCCAUGUUGGUCUCCAAGAAAGCUGAUAAAAACUAUAUUGAAGACACUGAGACGACCCCAAAGUCCUAUCUUGAUGUAGUGUUCGAGUUAAUGGCUACUAUUGCUGGCACCAGCUCUUCAAACUCGCUGCCUGAAUCAGUUCGGCUUCUUGAGUCUCAACUUCAAGUCGAAAGACAUCGAUCAGAUGUUAUGCGACAAGAAGCCGAAGGACUAAGGAAGUCCCUGCAGAAUUCAGAUGCAUACUUCCUGGUGCAACAGCAAGUGCUGGAGGAUUUAAGCGCCAAACAAGAGAAAAUUAAUAAGCUUGCUAAACAUCUUGCCAGCAUUAUGGGUACCCAGGAUAUUGUUUCUUGAGCUCUUCUGAAGUGGUUUCAGUUCUGGACUUGUUUUGCAGCGGCGUUUAUUUGCACUGGUCGCCAACUUUGACAACCAGUGUACAUGAUAUGCGGCUUUGUUCCCUAUAUUUGCACUAGUGGCAAACUUUGAUGCCCAGUGGAUGUAAUAUGUGUAAUAGCCGUGAUAGCCUAGCGCAAGUUGCUUGCUUAUUUAUUUCCUUGUUGUCUUAUUUAUUUGUUUGCUUAUAGUCAGUGCAGUUUUUUUUCACGGUUUGCUAGUGGCCGCAAUAACCUAUUUUUUAAAACUAGGCCACAAUAACCAUGGGCUACAUAUUUACUGUAUUUACCAUGGGCCUCCUACGGGCCGUAGAAACAAUGGGCCUUCUACGGGACGUAGCAUCAAUGGGUCUUCUACGGGCCGUAUGAUCGAUCGGCCAAACAUGGGCCAAUAACAGACCGCAUUAUGGGCCAUAAACGGGCUAGAUUUGAAAUCGUCCGUUCAUGGGCCGACCAUAAUGGGCUAUCGUUAAUUGGUCGUAUUUGAUGACGUUACGAAAACGGCCCAAAGGAUUAACGGGCCAAUUGUAACCACAGGCUGAAUUUGGCCCACAAGCAGAAAAGGCCAGUAACGGGCCGUAAGUAACCGAAUACUGGAAAUAAGCCCAAGAAUAAAUGGGCCCUGAGAAGUACGAAAGAUAACACGGGUUGGAAACGACCCAAUGGAAUAAUGUGCCGUUAAUGGGUAUAAAGCGGUACAUUGUUCAUUGCGGGCCAGAUUCAACACGGGCCGUUAAUGGGCCAAGAGUUACAAAUGGCCUCGUAUGGGCCAAAAGAUAUCAUGGGCCGGAAGUUACAAUAGGCUGGAAUCAUAUUGGACGGCCUAGAUGAAGCUAUUGGGCUUAAUUCUGAUAGGCCGUAACGGGCCAUGAGUUAGCGGGCCGUAAAUGGGCUAUAUACGAACAGGCCGUUAACAGGCUUUCCAUGUGCCGACCCAUUACCUUUUGACCAAGUCAAAUGGGCCGGCCUUUUCACCAGAAUGGGCCUCUGUUGAGACGUGCCAUGUGUCGAUGUAUCAUAGGCGCCUCCUGUCCAAUCAAUGGAUGACAUCUGUCCCAACGGUGAGCCAACACGUGUUUCCUUCGGCCAAUGAAAAUUUUACACGUGGAAAAUCCUCAUUGGUUCGGGCUGUUAAUGUGUUAUCGGAUCCAAAACCGGACCCGAUAGCAUAACGGCGACCCAUUAUGGUGGAUGCCACAUGUCGGUCACCCUUAACAAAAGCACUUCUAUGAUGCGCAAUUUAUCGUCAUGGAAGUGGACACUUCUGUGAUGAUAAUUUUGGUAAUGUCAUGGAACACUUCUACGACAGCACAGGUAUGACUAUCUUGAUUCUGUCAUAAAAUUGUCAUGGAUGUACAUGCAUGACAGAAAAGGUGACGUACUGUGACAAACAUGUAUCAUCAUGGAAGUGUAUUUUUUUGUAGUGUUGGCCACAACUUCCUUUUGAUUGCUCAAAAGGUCAUUGAGAUUCUUCUCACCUUGUAUGCAAGACAUAAGGCCUUUCUCAAGUUGCUCCUUUAACUUUGCAUUCUCCUCCACAAGAUGCACAUGCUCACAACAAGGGUUAGUAGCAUUUGCAUUAUCAAUUAAGACCAUAUGAGGAAAAGUGGCUUUUUCCUUAGUUAGCUUCACUUGGAGUUGAUCAUGAUACUCUUUGAGGCUAGCAUGAGCACCCUUCAAGGCUUUGUGAACCUUGUCGAGUAUAUCAAACUCCUCCUUGAGUCUAGCAAGAUCAACCCCAAGUUUGGCCUUCUCAGAAUUUUGCACACGAGAUACAACAAGAGCAUGAUCAAGAUCUUUCUUUAAUUUAGCAUGGUCAUCGUUGUGUGACUCCUCAAGAGCCAAACGAUGACCGCGCUCUUCCUCAAGCACAUUAGAGAGAUCCGAUAUCUCAUCGACAUAAUCAUAGCUAUGCCCCUCCAUCUUAGAGAUGGUUUCUUCGUGAGCCUCAAUCAUGUCAUUGGCUUCACCAAGUUGUUCCAAGAGAGCAACAAAGUGCUUCUUGGAUUUACCCUUUAGUUUACUCAUAAAAGACUCGAAUUCAUUUUCCUCCUCAUUAGACCCCUCACUUUCAUCAAUGCAAUCCGUCAAAGAAGGAUUAGUAAUGAUGGUAGUUUUGAUGUUGGGGGUUACCUUGUUGGUGGCACUUGGCGGUGAUGUUCUCAUUGGGUGAGUCGAAGAGGGACACCCGUGGAGUCGUCGCAAUGGCAACGGAGGCCAUAGCAACCAACUCACUUUCUUCAUCAUCAUCAUCCUCCUCAUUGUACUCUUCUUGUUCCACCAACCCCUUGGGAGGAGUCUUCUUGGUGAAGUUGCUCUUGUUGGGGAAGGACUUGGCCUUGUCCUUUUGGAUGAACUUGCCACCAUUGUCUUCCCUCUUCUCAUAUGGGCACUCCACAACAAAGUGGCUCACAUUGCCACAAUUAUAGCAAGUCCUCACACGUUGCUUGCCCUUCGUGCCACUUGAGUUAUUCUUGUUGAAGUUGGGACUUGUGUUCUUCUUGCUCCAAAAUUGCCUUGAAGCGAGAGCCAUGUGCUCAUGAUAAACAUAUUUUGUAUCUUCGGGGUUGCUCUCCUCUUCAUCCUCUUCUUCCACACUAGCCUUGGCCUUCAAGGCAAGGUUGGGCUUCUUUGCUAUUUGAGAACGCAACACCUCAUUGUCGGCGGUCUUGUCCAAGAUACUCAUUGCCACAAACUCAUCCAACACUUCACUUAAGGACAAGGUGUGAAAGUCCGGCCUUUGACGGAUGACAGAGGACAUGGCCUUAUGGUAAGGCAUCAUGGCUUUGAGAAACUUGCGCUUGAUCCAGUUGUCAUUUGUAUCCUUGCUCCCAUGAUCUCAGAGUGAGACCACAAAAGUGAUUAAUCUCCGGUAAAGCUCACGAGGUUCUUCACCUUCAUUCAUUGCAAAUUCAUCGGCUUCAUAUUGCACCACUUCAUAGUUGGAGCGUUGAAUGCUUGCGCUUCCCUUGUAAAGGGAAACAACAUGGUGCCAUGCUGCCUUUGCCACGAUGAAAGGUCGGAGAUGCGAAAUAUCUUCGGAUGGAAUUGCAUCUUUGAUGAUGAAGAGAGCAUUCUCGUUGAAUUGAUGAUCUGCGGCUUCUCGAGGGGUGAAGUUGCUUGGGUCAUGCGGAUAGAAACAUUGCUCAGUGAUUCUCUAGAUAUUAGUAUUGACAUGAUUUAAAUGAUGUUUAAAGCGAUAGACCCAAGAGUCAAAAUCCUCAUUUUUCACAAUCUUAGGGGGAGAACCGGCAUGAUUCAAAUGAGUGGAGGGAACCGGUCCUCCAUAAGUAAGUGGAGGUUCAACAUGGGCAUAGAUGCCAUUUCCACUUCUACCACUAGAUGAAGGAACUUUGUCACUCAUAGCUUCCCCCUUGUCGGAGUUAGCAUUCGUCACCUUGUUAGUGGGAUUGACCACUUCCAACGGUGCGGUGGACAAUUUAAGACCAUCAAGAAAGUUCUUAAGCAUGCCUUUGACCUCGGUCGUCAUGGAGGUUUUCAAUGUGUCCAAGGCCACAUUGAACUCCUCACGUGUGACCGAGGUUCCCUCAUCGGCCGUAGACAAGGAUGGAAUCACACCGGGUGCUCCUCCUCACCAUAUACGGUGUCAACCAUACUCUUCGGAUGGCAAAGUCCUUAAUAAAGAGAUGAGGCUCUAAUACCAAUUGAAAGGAUCGAUAUAGUUGACUAGAGGGGGAGUGAAUAGGCAACUAACAAUUUUUAGCUUUUCUUUAACAAUUUAAGCUUUGCAUCAAAGUAGGUUGUCUAGACAUGCAACUAGGUGAGCAACCUAUAUGAUGCAACAACAAAAGCACACAAGCAAGCAAGGGAUGCAACACAAAGUAAGCCUGCACAAGUACAGGUACGAGAUAACCAAGAGUGGAGCCGGUGGAGACGAGGAUGUGUUACCAAAGUUCCUUCCCUUUGAGAGGAAGUACGUCUCUGUUGGAGCAGUGUGGAGGCACAAUGCUCCCCAAGAAGCCACUAGGGCCACCGUACUCUCCUCACGCCCUCAUACAAUGCGAGAUGUCGUGAUUCCACUAUUGGUGCCCUUGGAGGCGGCGGCCGAACCUUUACAAACAAGGUUGGGGCAAUCUCCACAACUUAAUUGGAGGCUCCCAACGACACCAUGAGGCUUCACCAGAAUGGAAUAUGGCUCCGCGGUGACCUCAACCGUCUAGGGUGCUCAAGCACCCAAGAGUAACAAGAUCCGCAAGGGAUUAGUGGGGGGAAUCAAAUUUCUCUUGGUGGAAGUGUAGACCGGAGCCUUCUCAACCAAUCCCUAGAAAAUCAACAAGUUUGAUUGGCUAGGGAGAGAGAUCGGGCGAAAAUGGAGCUUAGAGCAUUAAUGGAGCUUAGGGAUGGAAGAGGUAGUCAACUCGGAGAAGAAGACUCCCCUUAUAUAGUGAUAGGACAAAUCCAACCGUUAUCCACUUACCCAGCCUGCGAUGUGCGGUCACCAGACAAGCGGUACUACCGCAAGGGCCUGUAGUACUACCGCGGGGCCCUACGGUACUACCACUGGCGUGGCAGGAGCUAGACCAUCCAUGUUGCAUUGCAGCAGAAAGCGGUAGAACCGCCGGAAGGGUGCUAUCGCUUGCCCUUGCGGUACUACCGCGAGGCAGGGUUUGUCUAGGCUGGGAAAGCACAGACAUAAAAAAAUACAUCCGUGGCUACUUUCGUUCAGUUUCGAUCUGUGCAAAAAUCCGACGCAGUACUACCGUGAACCUGGAGCGGUACUACCGCGUAGGGCGCGGAUGUAAAAAAUUACAUUCACCCCUACUUCCGCUCGUGUUGUUGCGCCUGGCCCGAGGCCAUGGUACUACCGCGCCCUGGGAACGGUACUACCGCAAGGGACUGCGAUACUACUGCGACCGUGGCUGGUACUACCGUCAGCCUUUGCGGUACUACCACUCCCAUGAGCAGUACUAACGCAUGCCCCAGCACAACCAACACUAGGAGUCCUUCAUUUUGCAGAGACAUGGAUAAACGGAGGAUGCUCCAAAGAGCCAAAGGAAAGGUGGUGCAAAAGGAACAGACGUGUAUGUGAUGAUUCCACCCAAACCUUUCCAAAGCUGACCCCCUCUUAAUACGAUUUUCCUACGACUCAAAUCCACCAAAAAGAAACGUAGGGAAAACUCCGUCUUCACUAGACUCCGAGGGGAAAUGAAUCAUCUUGUGCCUAAACAUGAGAUAUCUAAAAUGCUCAAUGCACACGAUUAGUCCGCAAAUGCAUUGUCAUCAAUCACCAAAACCACUAAGGGAUAAAUAUGCCCUUAUACUAUCUCAACAUCAUUAUCUGGUUCUUUAUCAUUAUUUGGUUGAGUGUCUUCAUGAACCUUAUCAUCAUCUUUUUCAUUAUCACUAGGUGAGUGUUCAUUACCAGAUUGAGUUUCAACAUCAGAGAUAGAAACUUCAUUUUCAUUAUCAGGAGGUUUUUCUAUUUCAGGUUCAUUAGAAGCAUGCAAAGUCCUAUCAUUUUUCUUUUUCUUUUUAGAAGGACUAGGUGCACUAGUGUUGGCUCUUUGUGAAUCUUGUUCAAUUCUUUUUGGGUGUCCCUCGGGAUAAAGUGGUUCCUGAGUCAUUUUACCUCCUCUAGUUGCAACUCUAACAGCAAAGUCAUUUAUAUUAUUAUUCAUUUCAUCAAGUAAUUCUCUUUGUGAUUUAGCAACUUGUUCCAACAGAGUUUGAACCAUAGAAGCAUGUUUUCCAACACCUCUAACAUCAUUUGAUAUUCUAAAUAACAAGUCACUCAAGCGAGCAAUCAUAUCAGAAUUAUAUUUCAAUUGUUUCAUAACAUUUGCAUUGAAGUGAUCUUGUUUUCUAAUGUAGUUUUCAAACUCAUAAAGGCAUUGACUAGGAUGCAUAUUGUGAGGAUUAUAAUUAUCAUUGAACUUCAUUAUAGAAUUCACCUCUACCACCUUAGGCAGUGGUGGCGUAUUAAGCCCAUGUAUUUCAUCAAUAGGAGGUAAAAUUUUAACAUCCUCAGCUUUAGUACCUUUUUCUUUCAUGGAUUUCUUUGCCUCUUGCACAUCUUCAGAACUAAGAUAUAAUAUAUCCCUCUUCUUUGGAGUGGGUUUAGCCGGUGGUUCAGGAAGAGUCCAAUCAUCAUAAUUUUUCAAUAUAUUAUUCAAUAAUUCUUCAGCUUGUCCAACAGUUCAUUCCCUGAAAACACAACUAGCACAACUAUCUAGGAAGUCCCUAGAAGCAUCGGUUAGUCUAUUAUAAAAAAUAUCAAGUAUUUCAUUUUCCUUAAGAGGAUGAUCAGGGAAAGCAUUAAGUAACUGGCAAAGCCUCCCCCAAGCUUGUGGGAGACUCUCUUCUUUAGUUUGCACAAAGUUAAAUAUUUCCUGUAAGGCAGCUUGUUUCUUAUCAGCAGGAUUUUUUUCUAGAGAAGUAAUAAAUCAUAUCCUGGGGACUGCGCACACAACCAGGAGCAAGAGUAUUGUACCAAGCUUUAGCAUCACUCUUUAAUGAGAAAGGAAAUAAUUUGAGAAUAAAGUAAUAGCGAUUUUUCUCAUCAUGAGUAGAAAGGGUGGCUAUGUCAUUCAACUUAGUAAGAUGUGCCACAACAGUUUCAGUUUCAUGACCAUGGAAAGGAUCAGAUUCAACCAAAGUAAUUAACUCUGGGUCGAUAGAGAAUUCAUAAUCCUUAUCAUCAAUAAAGAUAGGUGAAGUAGCAAACUUAGGAUCACAUUUCAUUCUAGCAUUCAGAGAUUUUUCUUUAUACUUGCAUAGUAAUUUCUCUAGAUCAUCUCUAUCUCUGCAAGCAAGAAUAUCUCUAGUUGUCUCUUCACUCAUAACAUAACCUUUUGGUACCUUAGGCAAUUCAUAUCUAGGAGGGCUAGUUCUAGUAGGUGUUUCAGGAGAUUCAGUUUCAAGCUCAUCAUCAGAUUCAACAACAUCAUGUUGUAUAACUCUAGCAAUUUGUUUAUCAAGAAAUUCACCAAGUGGCACAUCAUCAUUAUCAAGCAAGGUACUAGCAUCAUCAUAUGCAUUAUCCAUAGCAGAAGUAGCAUCAUCAAUAACUUGCGACAUAUCAGAAUUAAUAGCAUGUGGUGGUGUUGCAAGUUUACUCAUAACAGAAGGUGAAUCUAAAGCAAAACUGGAUGGCAGUUCCUUACCUCCCCUCAUCUUUGAGGGAUAAAUCUUAGUCUUUGGAUCCUUCGGAUUCUUCAUAGUGAUAAUAUGAUAAUAAUCCCAAGUGACUCAACAAAUAUAGCUAUGCUCCCCGGCAACGGCGCCAGAAAAAGGUCUUGAUAACCCACAAGUAUAGGGGAUCGCAACAGUUUUCGAGGGUAGAGUAAUCAACCCAAAUUUAUAGAUUCGACACAAGGGGAGCCAAAGAAUAUUUGAAGGUAUUAGCAGCUGAGUUGUCAACUCAACCACACCUGGAGAUUAAUUAUUUGCAGCAAGUAAUCUGUAGCAAAGUAAUAUGAUAGUUUUGAUAGCAGUGACAACAGUAAUAGUAACGGUAACAGUGAUAGCUGUAAUAACUUAGCAGAAACAAUAUAGGAUAAAUUUGUAGGCAUUGGAUCGGUGACUUGUUGGAUGAUAUUCAUCAUGAGACAGUUAUAACCUAGGGCGAUACGGCACUAGCUCCAGUUCAUCGAUAUAAUGUAGGCAUGUAUUCCGUAAAUAGUCAUAUAUGCUUUAUUAAAAGAACUUGCAUGAUGAUGUCUACUACACAACCUUCUUCUUGUAGAUGUUGUUGGGACUCCAAGUGUAGAGGUUUGUAGGACAGUAGCAAAUUUCCCUCAAGUGGAUGACCUAAGGUUUAUCAAUCCGUGGGAGGUGUAGGAUGAAGAUGGUCUCUCUCAAACAACCCUGCAACCAAAUAACAAAGAGUCUCUUGUGUCCCCAACACACCCAAUACAAUGGUAAACUGUAUAGGUGCACUAGUUCGGCGAAGAGAUGGCGAUACAAGUGCAAUAUGGAUGGUAGAUAUAGGUUUUUGUAAUCUGAAAAUAUAAAAACAGCAAGGUAACUAAUGAUAAAAGUGAGCACAAACGGUAUUGCAAUGAUAGGAAACAAGGCCUAGGGUUCAUACUUUCACUAGUGCAAGUUCUCUCAACAAUAAUAACAUAAUUGGAUCAUAUAACUAUACCUCAACAUGCAACAAAGAGUCACUCCAAAGUCACUAAUAGCGGAGAACAAAUGAAGAGAUUAUUGUAGGGUACGAAACCACCUCAAAGUUAUUCUUUCCGAUCAAUCUAUUGGGCUAUUCCUAUAAGUGUCACAAACAGCCCUAGAGUUCGUAGUAAAAUAACACCUUAAGACACAAAUCAACCAAAACCCUAAUGUCACCUAGAUACUCCAAUGUCACCUCAAGUACCCGUGGGUAUGAUUAUACGAUAUGCAUCACACAAUCUCAGAUUCAUCUAUUCAACCAACACAAAGAACUUCAAAGAGUGCCCCAAAGUUUCUACCAGAGAGUCAAGACGGAAACGUGUGCCAACCCCUAUGCAUAAGUUCACAAGGUCACUGAACCCGCAAGUUGAUCACCAAAACAUACAUCAAGUAGAUCACGUGAAUAUCCCAAUGUCACCACAGAUAAGCACAUGCAAGACAUACAUAAAGUGUUCUCAAAUCCUUAAAGACUCAAUCCGACAAGAUAACUUCAAAGGGAAAACUCAAUCCAUUACAAGAGAGUAGAGGGGGAGAAACAUCAUAAGAUCCAACUAUAAUAGCAAAGCUCGCGAUACAUCAAGAUCGUACCAUAUCAAGAACACGAGAGAGAGAGAGAGAAAGAGAGAGAGAUCAAACACAUAGCUACUGGUACAUAGGUGAACUACUCCCUCCUCAUCAUGGAGAGCGCCGGGAUGAUGAAGAUGGCCACCGGUGAUGGAUCCCCCCUCCGGCAGGGUGCCGGAACAGGGUCACGAUUAGUUCUUGGUGGCUACAGAGGCUUGCGGCGGUGGAACUCCCGAUCUAGGUUUCUUUUCGGGGGUUUCUGUAUUUAUAGGAAUUUUUGGCAUCGGUCUCACAUCAGGGGGUCUCCGAGUCGUCCACGAGGCAGGGGGGGGGGCGCGCCCUCCACCCUCGUGGGCGGCUCCGGACUCUUUUGGCCCAACUAUUUUACUCCGGGGGCUUCUUUUGAUCCAUAAAAAUCAUCAAAAAUUGGCACGUCAAUUGGACUCUAUUUGGUAUUCCUUUUGUGUAAAACUCAAAAACAAGGGAAAAACAGAAACUAGCACUGGGCUCUAGGUUAAUAGGUUAGUCCCAAAAAUCAUAUAAAAUAACAUAUAAAUGCAUAUAAAACAUCCAAGAUGGAUAAUAUAAUAACAUGGAACAAUCAAGAAUUAUAGAUAUGUUGGAGACGUAUCACAUGACAUCUUUUGUCCUACCCUCCCGUGGCAGCGGGGUCCAUAUUGAAAACUAAGGCAUAUUAAGGCCUUCUUUUAAUAGAGAACCGGAACAAAGCAUUAACACAUAGUGAAUACAUGAACUACUCAAACUACGGUCAUCACCGGGAGGGUCCCGGUUAUUGUCACUCCGGGGUUGCCGGAUCCUAACAUGUAGUAGGGGGCUAUAACUUGCAAGGUCGGAUCUAGAACAUGGAUAUAAUGGUGAUAACAUAAACGUUUCAAAUCUGAAAUCAUGGCACCCGGGCCAAAAGUGACAAGCAUUAAGCAUGGCAAUCAUAGCAACAUCAAUCUAAGAACAUAGUGGAUACUAGGGAUCAAGCCCUAACAAAACUAACUCGAUUACAUGAUGAAUCUCAUCCAACUCCUCACCGACCUGCGAGCCUACGAAGGAAUUACUCACUCCCGGUGGGGAGCGUCAUGGAAUUGGCGAUGGAGAAGGGUUGCGGAUGAUGAAGAACGAAGACCCCCCUCUCCGGAGCCCCAAAUAGACUCCAGAUCUGCCCUCCCGAGGAAGAACGGGGCUUGGUGGCGCCUCCGUCUCGUGGAUCAUGCUAAUUCUUUCUCCCUCAUUUUUUUCUCUGAAAAUAGGAAUUUAUAGUGUCAGGGUUGAGGUCUACCGGGCCACCAGGUGGGUACAACCCACCUGGGCGCGCCAGGAGAGGGGGACGCGCCCUAGUGGGUUGUGCCCACCCAGGUGCCCCUCUCCGGCAGGUCUUGGCUCCAGAAAUUCUUAUUAUUGAUAUAAAAAAUCCUCUCAAAGUUUCGUUCCAUUCCGGGAACUUAUAUUUUUGCACAAAAACAACACCAUGGUAGUUCUGCUGAAAACAACGUCAGUCCGGGGUUAGCUUCAUUCAAAUCAUGCAAAUUAGAGUCCAAAACAAGAGGAGAAGCAUGAGAAAAAGUAGAUACAUUGGAGACGUAUCAAGCACGCGCGGGUGGGUGCCCAUUUCGAAGCGAUGGAGGGUGAUCCAACAAGAGUGCAACAAGUUUUGUGCCACUCUUGAGAGCAUCAAGGCUCGCCCCGUGAGCAGCAUCGGCAUGCAAGACAUGGUAUGCUAUCAAGCCGCCCUCUUUUGUGUCAUCAAGUUCAUGCUUGCGUGUUCAUUUGCAUACCAUUUGCCAAUAUGCUUGCAUGGAAACAUUUAGUAGGCAUUUCAAGCUUUGGAGGCAUUCAAGGUCUAACACAAUGGUAAGUGCUUCAACCUCUCCCAUUGCUUUCGGGUCAUCAAGGACGAGGAGAAGUUCAAGGCGCAAUAUGCCGCCCUCAAGUCACGUGGGGUGAUACGUCUCCAACGUAUCUAUAAUUUUUGAUUGCUCCAUGCUACUUUAUCUACUGUUUUAGGCAAUAUUGGGCUUUAUUAUCCACUUUUAUAUUAUUUUUGGGACUAACCAAUUAACCGGAGGCCCAACCCAGAUUUGUUGUUUUAUGCCUAUUUCAGUGUUUCGAGGAAAAGGAAUAUCAGACGGAGUCAAAACGGAACGAAAUCCAUUGAAGAAGUUAUUUUUGGAAGGAAAGCAACCUAGGGAACUUGGAGUGCACGUCAGGGGAGAUACGGGCUGCCCACGAGGGUGCCCCCCCCCGGGCGCGCCCCCCUGCCUCGUGGGGCCCCCGUAGCUCCUCCGACGUACCCCCUGCACCCAUAUAUACUCUCGUACCCUAAAACUUCCAGAACAGAAGAUAGAUCAGGAGUUCCGCCGCUGCAAGCCUCUGUAGCCACCAAAAACCAAUCGGGACCCUGUUCCAGCACCCUGCUGGAGGGGGAUCCCAUCACCGGUGGCCAUCUUCAUCAUCGCGGUGCUAUCCAUGACGAGGAGGGAGUAGUUCACCCUCGGGGCUGAGGGUAUGUACCAGUAGCUAUGUGUUUGAUCUCUCUCUCUCUCUCGUGUUCUCUCUCGUGUUCCCUCUAUGGCACGAUCUUGAUGUAUCCCGAGCUUUGAUAUUGUAGUUGGAUCUUAUGAUGUUUCUCCCCCUCUACUCUCUUGUGAUAAAUUGAGUUUCCCCUUUGAAGUUAUCUUAUCGGAUUGAGUCUUUUAUGAGAACACUUGAUGUAUGUCUUGCCGUGAUUAUCUAUGGUGACAAUUGGAUAUCAUGUGCCACUUGAUGUAUGUUUUGGUGAUCAACUUGCGGGUUUCGUGACAUUGGGAACCUAUGCAUAGGGGUUGGCACACGUUCCUGACUCUCCGGUAGAAACUUUGGGGCACUCUAUAAAGUACUUUUAUGUUGGUUGGAUGAAUCUGAGAUUGUGUGAUGCAUAUCGUAUAAUCAUGCCCACGGAUACUUGAGGUGACAAUGGAGUAUCUAGGUGACAUUAGGGUUUUGGUUGAUUUGUGUCUUAAGGUGUUAUUCUAGUACGAACUCUUUUAUAGAUUGAUCCAAAAGAAUAACUUUGAGGUGGUUUCGUUACCCUAACAUAAUCUCUAUGUUUGUUCUCCGCUAUUAGUGGCUUCGGAGUGACUCUUUGUUGCAUGUUGAGGGCUUGUCAUACUAUCUAUCUUUGUUAUUAUUGUUGAGAGAACUUGCACUAGUGAAAGUAUGAACCCUAGGCCUUGUUUCCUAUCAUUGCAAUACCGUUUACGCUCACUUUUACCACUUGUUACCUUGCUGUUUUUAUUAUUUCAUAUUACAAAAACCUAUAUCUACCAUCUAUUUUGCACUUGUAUCACCAUCUCUUCGCCGAACUAGUGCACCUAUACAAUUUACCAUUGUAUUGGGUGUGUUGGGGACACAAGAGACUCUUUGUUAUUUGGUUGUAGGGUUGUUUGAGAGAGACCAUCUUCAUCCUACACGUCCUAUGGAUUGAUAAACCUUAGGUCAUCCACUUGAGCGAAAUUUGCUACUGUCCUACAAACCUGUGCACUUGCAGGCCCAACAACGUCUACAAGAAGAAGGUUGUGUAGUAGACAUCAUGGGGGGAAAGCAAGCCGUGGAGGAGGUUGGGCACGGCGAGACGGCACGGCGAGCCGGCACGGCCGCGGGGGAAGACCAACUCCAAGAAGGAGGACAAGCGGGAUGCAGCAUCCAACGCCUUGAUCGCAAGCGUGGAGGUCAUAAUGAACAAAAAGGACUCAAGGGAGGAGGAGAGCCGACACUUCAAAGAAGAGCAAAUGAAUGCCUUCAUGGAGAUCCAAAGGAGGAGGCUUGAGAUGGAAGCGGAGAAGCAAGCCAAGAUGCUUGAGCUAGAGGCGGAGAAGCAAGCCAAGAUGUUAGAGCAUCUCCAUCCGUUCGGCCCCCCAGGGCACCGAAAAAGAGCCGCCUGGGGGCGAACCGGCGCUAGAUCGGCCCCUGGGGGCGACCUAGCUCCUAGUCAUCGGCCCACAGGUCGCCCAGGUUCGGCGAUGUUCCGUACAAAAUAUAUGCAAACUCGGUGAUUUUGCACGAACUCGGCGAAACUUCAUUGAAAUUUGUACAAAAAACAUGAAAACAUGCAAACUAUGCCUGAACUACGCCUAACCGCCACCGCCGCAGCUGCCGCCAUUGUCUACAUGCCGAGAAGCCUGUAGAAGCAAGCGCCGUCGCCGUCAUCAUCGUUGUCGCGCGGCUAGCUUGGGCUGGCGUUGUCCCUGCUGCAGCCCUGGCCAGGGUCGUCGAGGCGCGGUGGCGCGCUGGACGGGCCGGCCUCGUCCUCCUCGUUGCUGUCGAGGACAAUGACGUCGCCCUGCUCGCGCCCGUGGCGCCGGGCCUGAUGCCAGGCCUGGAGCUCCGCGUACGCCUGGCGCUGGCGGCGGACCUGCUCCCGGACGUAGUCCUCCUUCACCCACUUGAGGGCGGACUCGUCGUCGGGGGCCGCCAUCUCGACGUGCUCCGGCUUCACCGGGAGCAGCCCCGGCUCUAGCUUCGGCCGGACCAGGCGGAAGGAACCGCGCGGGGAGGACCGGGCACCCUCGUUGAUGACGAGGGCGCCACUGCGGGUGCGGCGCCCGAGCGGCAUCUCCUUCGGCUCGGGCUUGACAGGGCGGAGCAUGGCCGGCGAGCCGGAGCCCGACGACGAGGACAACCCCGACUCCAUCCGCCGCGGCGUCCAGGAGCUCCCACGGCGGCGAGAGAAGGACGACCGCGGCGGGUACUCGAGGAGCGGCACGUUGCCGAUCUCGAUGUGGUCGAGGACGGCCUCGAGGGUGCGGCCUGGCACGCCCCAUCACUCACGCCGCCCGUCAGAGUUGAGGCAGCCGCGCGGGAUGACGCCGUUGGUGGAGACGAUAUGCCCCUCGCGGCUGCGUUGGAAGUACGUGGUCCAGAGGUGGUGGCUGUUGGCGGCGUAGCGCGACUCGUCCCAAUGCUCCUCCGUCAUGGACAAGCGGAUGCGGGCGAUCUCGGCCCGCCACGCCGCCCCUUCGGGCACCGGGACGCCGCCGGCGCUCAGCCUCCACGUCCCCGACACCCGCAUGUCCGGGGGUGCCGGGUACUCAGCCUCGUAGAGCAGGCGCGCCUCCGCUUCUUGGAGGUGGCGGCGGCCGAAGCCGUUCGCCACGACGUCGUCGCCUGGGUAUCUCUCGGCCAUCUUUCUCGUCGUCGGGAAGAGGGGAGUGUUGCUAUCUACGCCGGGGAGGGGGGAAAAUGAUAGUUGUGGCAUCCACCGGCGGGGAGGUCGCCUUUUAUAGCCAUAGUUGGGCGGCCGCGGGCUGCAUGCCGGGCGACGCGUGGCUGGACGCGCGUCGCGACGCGUUCACUGCGCCGCCCGUGAGGCAUCAAUGGAGGCUGACCGGCGCGGCAGCACGGCAGCCUUCGCAUUGUUUCCCGCGGGAACCGAGCGAUGAGGGCGACGAAGCAGCGUCUCGCUGACUCGGCGGGGCCAUCCGCUUUCGCGCCAGUUUCGGCCCAAAGCGGCAAAAAAAUGGGCUCCUGGGUGCGCGACUGGGCCGAUUUUUGGGUGCCGGCAUGGAAAAAUCGCCUGGGGAGGGCCUGUUGGGGGCACGGCUGGAGAUGCUCUUAGAGAUCGAGGCCGCCAAUGCCAAGACCAAGGAGAAAGAAGUGGCUCUCGCGAGCAUGAUGACCGGGGUGGAGACCAUGAAGGUGGAUCUCAACACAGUGUCGUCAAGGAAGAUGUCNNNNNNNNNNNNNNNNNNNNNNNNNNNNNNNNNNNNNNNNNNNNNNNNNNNNNNNNNNNNNNNNNNNNNNNNNNNNNNNNNNNNNNNNNNNNNNNNNNNNNNNNNNNNNNNNNNNNNNNNNNNNNNNNNNNNNNNNNNNNNNNNNNNNNNNNNNNNNNNNNNNNNNNNNNNNNNNNNNNNNNNNNNNNNNNNNNNNNNNNNNNNNNNNNNNNNNNNNNNNNNNNNNNNNNNNNNNNNNNNNNNNNNNNNNNNNNNNNNNNNNNNNNNNNNNNNNNNNNNNNNNNNNNNNNNNNNNNNNNNNNNNNNNNNNUGGUAAUAUGCAAAUGAACAGUGACAUCUUUUUACUGUUACCUGCAGCCGGCCCUCCCCAAUGUCCAAUUAUAUGCAUUCCUGCCUCCGCCACUGCCGACGAGUGAUCUCACGCCUUUCUUUUUCGUAUGUUGGCUUGUGUGCUGGCAUGACCACGGGCCGCGAUGGCUGGUCAAACUCAAGUCCCACCCCUUUUGUGUGCUGGCAUGUGUGUCGGCCGCUGGCGAGUGCGCCAGCGUGAACUGUGUGGUGAUAUUUUUUGAAGCCGACAAUGUAUGUCGGCGCUGGCAUGGUGCCGGCAUGAGACAUGGCUGCUCGUAUGAUCUAUGCGCCGCGGGCCUUUUUUUAAAUUGAGUGCAGACAUAAAAAUGGAUCGGCGCGUUGGGUGGGCGGCCGGCCAAAAUGCAAAAUAGGACGGACACCGGGCGGGCAACCAACCCAAACGGACAAAAAGCGGACAAAUGCGCCGUAUGUUUGGGUCAGCCGGUUGGAGUUGCUCUUACUGUUCAUUCACACAGUUUCUUCACAGUUUUCUGACGUUGCACGUACGGGUAAAUUUUUUUUUUGAACUAUUGGGACACACGGACGUUUUUUGCUAGCAAAGGAUAGAGAGGAUUCGCGAAGAAAACGAAGGACGAGAGGCUUCGACGAGUCCGUGGGCCCGUGUGAAUACAACGUGCGCGGGGGGCAGAGCAGCGGGUCCGGCCAAAAGCAAGCGUUUCCCAAAUCGAAUUGCCCCUUUCUUUCCCCUCGUCCAAGCCUCGGCCUCUUUAUAACCCCCACCACCUAAUCCUGCCCGUCCACCAAAGCCGCCAGCCUCCCUCCCCUGCCUGCCAGCCCCCAAAUCUCCCCUCCCUCUGUCGCUCUCGAAUCUUCCCCGAGCAUCGACCAUGUCGGCCUACUGCGGAAAGUACAAGGGUACGCGAUCCAUCUCCCUCCUUCCCCCUCCUCCCCUCCCUCGUCGUUCUCUCGAUACGUCGGCGGUUUGAUCUGUCUCGCGUGUAGAUCCGUUACCCGUUCGCCGUUCGUCAUGCUUAGAUCUACCUUUGCUCGCGAAUCCGAUGUACUGUAUGCCCUCCGUACGCGCCGUGCUUUGAUCUGCUUGGUUCUAGCGGUUACGCUGUUUUCGAGCGGAUUUAGGCGCUGCGUUAUUAGAUCAGUGCUUUGGGUUCCCCGGUCGCGUCAGGUGAUGGGUUGCAUGCUGAUGAUUACUGCUAGGUCCAUGCUAGUGAUUAUUUUGUGUGGAUGAUGAUACUGGCGUUCCUUCUUUUUUUGCAAGUACUUUUUGGGCAAGUUGAUAGACUCCGUUGCUCCAUCUGUACAUAAUUCUGUUUGUGUUCGUUGUAGUGGUAAUUAUGGCUUUAAUUAUUGAAGAUUGUACCUGUAAAUCUAGAUCUAUUUAGAUCCUGGUGGCUUCUUUUGCUAAGCAAUAUACUGUGCUUAUAUAGUUGCAAGCUGUAUUGGUUUGCUCUGCUGCCAUCUUAAGGGCUCCUUUGAUUCAAAGGAAUUUUAUAGGAUUUCUGGAGGAUUGAAAUCCUUUGGAUUUUUUUGUAUGUUGGUCCUUUGAUUUAUAGGAUGGAAUCCCAUAGGAAUUUUUUCCUAUGGAAUCUUUUGUACGACAUUUUGGCUCCGUUUGGUUUGGAGGCAGAAAAAAUGAAGGAAUAAGUAACUGCACAGGAAUAGAGUCGAGUGACUAGAGCGAGCCUAUGGAGCCUUGUGACCUGUUCGGUGUGCAGGAAAUGGAGCCCUUGGAGUACGAUGAAGAGAUGGGCGUUCUCACAGCUGAUUAGAGUUUUUUAUUGUCUCUAGACGUGAUGACCUCCCAUGCAGCCAUUGUUUAUUCGGCUGGACCACACUAUAGCAAGAGCUUAGCCUCGCGUCUCGGUCAGAACAUGAGGUUCCGGUGGAUUUUUCGUUUCCUGUGAAAAGUACAGGUUCACGUGACUUUCCACUGGAACAGAAUACCAGAUUCCUGUGAAACGAACGCACUGCAGGUAGAAGUUACUAAGGAAACUGAUCCUUCAAAAGUUCCUGUGAGAUUCCUGCGUACCGAACGGAGCCUUUAUAGGAAAUCUAACAUUCACUCCAACCUCUUUUUACAAUUCCUUUGUUUUUCCUGUGCCAUUAAACACCCAUUGCUACUCCUAUAGGAUUCAAGUGGGCAUGCCACUCUAACCCUAUACUUUUCCUAUUCCUACAUUUUCAAAAUCCUACGAAUCAAAGAGGCCCUAAUUCUUUGUUUCCCCUUUGUGUUAACCACCUUGUGCUGUUGUACAGAUACUUCUACUGAGAAAUUGUCAAAAUUUCAUAAUCACUUGUCCGAAUUAUGGAAUAUCCUGUGCUUAUAUAGUCGCGAGCUGUAUGAGUUUGAUCUGUUGCCAUGUUAAUUCUUUGUUGCCCCUGCCCGUGUUAGCCACCUUGUGCUGUUGCGCAGAUACAUCUUUGAGAAAUUGUCAAAAUUUCGUAAUCAGGUGUCAGAAUCAUGGUAGUCGGUUUGUUAUACAUGUGUUGUUAGUUACACUCAACUUCUGCAGUUUUGUAGAUUUUAGCACAAUCUGAAAUACUUAUGGCAAUUGAUCUUAAAUACUGAUGGUGGUUAUCCUGCAGAUGAGCUCAUCAAGAACGCUGCCUACAUUGGCACCCCUGGCAAGGGUAUCCUUGCUGCCGACGAGUCCACCGGCACCAUCGGCAAGCGCUUCGCCAGCAUCAACGUUGAGAAUGUUGAGGACAACCGUCGCGCCCUCCGUGAGCUCCUCUUCUGCACCCCUGGAGCCCUCCAGUACCUCAGCGGCGUGAUCCUCUUCGAGGAGACCCUGUACCAGAGCACCAAGGGUGGCAAGCCCUUCGUCGACAUCCUCAAGGAGGGCAACGUCCUCCCUGGCAUCAAGGUGGACAAGGGUACCGUCGAGCUCGCUGGAACCAACGGUGAGACCACUACCCAGGGCUUUGAUGACCUUGGCAAGCGCUGUGCCAAGUACUAUGAGGCUGGUGCCCGCUUUGCCAAGUGGCGUGCUGUCCUCAAGAUUGGCCUCACCGAGCCAUCACAGCUUUCCAUCGACCAGAAUGCUCAGGGUCUGGCUCGUUAUGCCAUCAUCUGCCAGGAGAAUGGGCUGGUGCCCAUUGUUGAGCCUGAGAUCCUUGUUGAUGGACCUCAUGACAUUGACCGCUGUGCUUAUGUGACCGAGAUGGUCCUUGCUGCCUGCUACAAGGCUCUCAACGACCAGCAUGUCCUCCUUGAGGGUACCCUCCUGAAGCCCAACAUGGUUACCCCUGGUUCCGACGCCAAGAAGGUAGCCCCUGAGGUGAUUGCUGAGUACACCGUCCGCACCCUCCAGAGGACCGUCCCUGCUGCCGUCCCUGCCAUUGUCUUCCUCUCCGGUGGACAGAGUGAGGAGGAGGCGACCCUGAACCUGAACGCCAUGAACAAGCUCCAGACCAAGAAGCCCUGGAACCUGUCCUUCUCCUUCGGGCGUGCUCUCCAGCAGAGCACCCUCAAGGCCUGGGCUGGCAAGGCGGAGAACGAGGAGAAGGCCAGGAAGGCGUUCCUGGUGAGGUGCAAGGCCAACUCCGAGGCCACCCUCGGCACCUACAAGGGCGAUGCCACCCUUGGCGAGGGCGCCUCCGAGAGCCUCCACGUCAAGGACUACAAGUACUGAUCUACCUUCGGUGCUGUGGCACGUUUGGGUGUCCUGCUUACCAGUAUUAUCGUUUGGUUUUCAGGGUCCUGAUAUAUCCUUCGGAUAUCGAACCUAGCAUGGAACUUUACCUUAGGUAGUUUUGUUUUUGGAGUUGAAUGAAUAUCCUGUUUUUGGAGUCGAAUACCGUGUAACCUGAGUGCUGCGUAUAGUAAGUUGGUGGUAAAACCUGUUAUAUGCUGAGUACACAUGCUUUGAGUUUUCUAUUUCGAUGAUUGUGCGUCGCUUAAUUUUUCUUUCGU
This 45903-nucleotide long non-coding RNA is filed under the name Triticum aestivum (bread wheat). Its description in RNAcentral is "long non-coding RNA (TAES_LNC027783)". The stretch from base 12822 to 12956 matches the Rfam family "MIR1120/MIR1122 microRNA precursor family". Lineage: Eukaryota; Viridiplantae; Streptophyta; Magnoliopsida; Poales; Poaceae. The record is from RNAcentral.